Molecule: long non-coding RNA, 45741 nt
Filed under: Triticum aestivum (bread wheat)
Lineage: Eukaryota; Viridiplantae; Streptophyta; Magnoliopsida; Poales; Poaceae
Description: long non-coding RNA (TAES_LNC021811)
Source: RNAcentral
GCUGAUGAAGAAGGCUAUGCUGGAAUACGCCUUACCGCAAGGGGCCCCGUCACUACUUGUGCGUAUGGCGUGGAAACGGACGGUCGCACACAUUUAAGCACAGAUGGGUGGAAGAGCUUCCUCGUUGACAAGAAUCUUCAUGUUGGACAGGCCAUCCUUAUUACUAUCAGGAAGACCAACCGUUAAGGCUUGAAGAUGAUGAUCGUCAUCGAUAUCAUCUAAACAAUAUAUGCGUGUGGCUGCUGAUGAUCGUCAUGUUUGAUUGCUACCUAUUUUGGCUUCGUGAAACUAUUUGGAUGUGAUCAAACUAUGUUAUGUUUAUGUCUAUGAAAUUGUGAUCAAACUAUGUUAUGUUUAUGUCUAUGAAAUUAUGAUCAAACUAUGUUAUUUGGUACUUGUUUCUUAAUCUGUAAUGGCAAAACUAAUUAUGCUUAUGUCUAUGAAAUUGUGCCUAUUGGUUCUUAUGUUCAGGGCCCUUGCAUAUUUCUAUGAAAUUGUGAUCACAUUAUUUGGAUGUGAUCAAACUUCUUAUGUCUACAAAAUUUUACACGAAACACAGGACCCUACCGCCAGGAUCCCUAGCGGUAGGGUCAGACAGCCUACCGCCGUGAGCCCUGGCGGUAGGGUGAACCUACCGCCAGGACGCUUGCAUAUCUCGUUACAGAAGGCAUGCACGGCAAAACCCUGCCACACCUUACCGCCAGAGCCCCUGGCGGUAGGGUUAGACAGCUUACCGCCUGGUUGUCUGGCGGUAAGGUACUUAUCCACGUCAGCGCGCGGUGACGGCCCCCGUCUCCCUCCGUCACACCCUACCGCCAGGGUAUCUGGCGGUAGCCUAUCUAACCCUACCGCCAGGGGCUCUGGCGGUAGCAAAAGGGUCAAAUCCCGAUUUUUUUUGAACGGGGUCAGAUCUUGAUUUUGUUUGCAAAAAGGGUCAAAACACGAAAUUCAGCCUUUGGAUGUUGCCCUCGUUUUCUCCAGUUGCCAAUUGGGCGAGGCUGCUGUGAGUGAGCGCGCAGAUAACACCUCCCCCAUUCUUGAAACCACUUCCCCUCUCUCUCUCUCUCUCUCUCUCUCUCUCAUUUCCUCUCCUCUCCUCCAGUCCCAUGCCCCUCCCCUGCUUCUCCGCCGCCGCCACCGCCACCACGGAUGAGAUGGGCGCUGGUGGGCAGGCUGCGAAGUCGCGGUGGGCGGCGCGGCCACCGUGGCCGUCGGGCUGCGGCGGCCAGCAGAGGACCGCCGCCGGCUGGAGCUCCUUCCUCCUCCACCGCGAAGCAACCUCUUUCCCCCACGAAGGAACGCCGCCGCGUCCGACCUUAACCGCCGACCGAAACACUAGCGAGCCCCACCCAUGGCGCCCUACCCUAGGUCAGAUCCCUCCUGCCCUUCCUCUUGGUUUCUUCCUUCUUCCUGUGAUGCGUGAGUGAGUGAUGUGCAGGCAGCUUCUUUCUCUGCUUUUCUGCUCUCACCCUGUCUCUCUCUUCACUUCUCUGUAGGUGGGUGGUACAGCGGCCAGAGAAGAGCAGAGGAGAGGAGGUGGAGCAGCCAGCGCCUGGACGUGAGGUGAGCUUCCCAUCGACACCUGCAGUUUUGGACGUUUUUCUUCAGUUUUGGUUCAACACGUUUGUGUGUGUGUGUGUGACCUUUUGGUUCAGUUUUUUGGAUGACCGAAACUGAACCAAAUUGCGUGUGCAUGCAUCCAUUGUAUGCAUGUAUCUACGCAUCACAUUUUUCUAACUGGACUGCACCACACUCGUGUAUUGCCAUGAAAAUAAAAUGUUGUGGUCUUGUUUCAUUUCUUAGCUGCUCAAGUGUAACAAUCGACACACUGUCUUUCAAUCUACCAACCAAGAGAUAUUGCUACCUAUCUAUUUGCCACUUGCUUGCAUUCAGAAAUUAUGUUGAUUUCCUCUGCUGCAAAAAAGUCCAUCUUGUGUUAUUACGCUUGAUUUCUUCAUUCAGAGAAAGAACAUUGAGGUGUGGAAAGGUCUAUUCCCAAAUUUGUGUACCAGAGCACAUUCUAAUUAAGACCUUCUUAUGUGGGUGCAAACAUACUGCAAGAACUACCCGUCGUGCGCCAAAUACACAAUGCCGAAGGUAUCGCUGGGAUGAGAGCUGCUUGCAAACUUGCUUCCCGUGUACUGAACUUUGCAGGAACAUUUUUUUUUCGAGAAAACGCAAAGAGCUUUGCGUUUCAUUGCAUUGAAGAGAAGGGAUUUUACAAUCCUCCUAGGAGGCUGGGGCUACAAAAGACUGUGUACUCGGUUAGUGGACAUCCCAGGACGUGGGCAGGACUACCCUGAGCCCCUUUGCCCCAGCUUGUGCCCAACAUUUGGCUUCCGUUUUAAUCCUAUCCACUAAUGCUUCUAUCGAUGUCCGUGUGUUUUCGAAAACACAUUCAUUGCGCUGCUUCCAGAUCAUCCAAGGGACAAGCAUGGCGAUGGAUUGCAAGCCUUUGCGCAGCGCGUGCGGUGUCCUCUCUUCGUUCGCUGCCACCAGUCUGUGAGUGAGGGGUCGUUGUGUGGUGGCUGUGCUGGAAUGCGACUUUGCAGGAACAUUGGUUAAGGUAUAUUCCUUUUUUCAUAGAUAACUAGAAUCAUUUUAUACCUAAAUCAUCUGAAGAGUCUGCAUUGUACACUUAAUAACAAUAAUUAUUUCACUGUCAUUUCAGCCAUCAAUUACUACAAAUGAAAUCGACAGGGCAGUGCAUCAUAUGAUAGUUGAGGCGGGUGCUUAUCCUUCUCCACUUGGCUAUGGCGGAUUUCCUAAAAGUAAAUGAGUGUGCCUGCCACGGACUACCUGAUUCAACACAGCCGCAGGUUCUGUAGGAUGAAAUGUGCAUCUUCCUUUCUUUAUUUUUAUGUCAUGCCUAUGUACCGUGGGAUGAAAAAUGUUGUUUCUUCUGCAGAAUGGAGACAUCAUAAAUAUUGAUGUAAAUGUGUUCCUAAAUGUAAGUUCUCUCUCCUAAGAUUGUGCAUAUGCUUAGUUGGUAUGUUUGGCAUAGAGUCGGAUUUUGCUGACAAAUUGCUUGCAAGGCUGAUAGGUUUAUUGAUAUGCCUCAUAUGCAAGCUCCUAACCCAUUGUAGAAGUUGUCUGUUGUGGAGAUGACUGGGUUCCAUGGCUAACAUAACACAUUUUACCUGUUAUGUACUCCAUCUGGUUGGAUAGCAAAUUGCAUUUUAAUGUUGAUUCAAUGCUUAUCAUUAAGUAUUUCUUAUGGAGAAAGAAAGCAGAGUAUGCCAUUUCAGCGCACUACGAUCACACCUGUGUCUGGGAGGAAGUUCUUCAGAACAAGUGCUUAAACAAGUACAAUCACACUGCUAUCGACGGGCAAUUUUACUUUUAUCAGUCUGAGGGCCUGUGAAGUUUAAUGCCUCUGACCAAGAUCCUGUUCUACCGAGUUGUAAGUAGCAUUUACUCUGUCAGGACCCCGACUCGAUGUCACAUCGAUCUAGCUUGUAACACCUCAUAUCACUUUGCGGCCUCACGCACGGUAUCCCCACGGGUGUCGCCUUACCUUUUCCCGGGACCGUUUGCGCCUUUUGGUUCACGUAUAUGAUAGUGUCGCUAGCAUCCAUAUGAUAGGGAGCCCGGGCUGACAAGACUAGUUGUAAACCCAAAGUGGCACAGACUUACAGGGACAGGCAUCCAUGACCCAGCUUCGAACGUGUCGGUCAUCAGCAAGUGGGUCCGGGCUGUAGCACUAGGCUAGCAGGACUCCGGUAAACCGGGCUGUAGCGGGCUAACAGGACUCCGGUACUCAAUGCGUGACAUUUCCCCGAAGGGACAGACACAGGAACGAAGAAGGACACAUGCCGGCCAGCCUAAAUGUUCCAGAGCAGUAGCAAGCUACCAUGGCUCAGCGGUAACACUAGGAGACAUUUCCCGGUAAGAGAGGCUACUAAAGAUAAACAACUAGAUAGUCAGAUCCCACACAUACCAAGCAUUUCAAUAACAUACACACAGUAUGCUCGAUAUGUGCAAAUACAACAUGGCAUCACAACAUGACUCUACGACACAAGUACUUUAUUUAGGGCUCAGAGAGCCAUACAUAUCAUACACAUAGAUACGGGUCACACGACCCAGCAUUCAAGUCAUACAGUCAUACAAACCAGCAGCGGAAGUAGCUUGUCUGGGUACAGACAACUAGUAAAAUAAAAGAGGCUUGGAAAGCCUAGCUAUAUUACGUGGUCCUUCACAAGCUCAGGAUCACCACCUGGGCCUUAGCCUACUCAUUGAUGUCAACGUCUACGAAGAACCCAUCAGAAGGGGUUGCAGCGUCUUCUGUAAAAAAUGUAGAUUAUAGCAACAUGAGUACAAAGGUACUCAGCAAGACUUACAUCAGGUCCUACAUACAUGCACAUUAUCAAGAAGGGUUGGUGGGGUUCUUGCAGCAAGCCAGCUUUGACUCUUGGCUAGACUAUCCUACGAGACUCCAACUUGAAAUGGUUUUGCGUACACGAGUCCACUACUCACCACUUCAAUACACUACCGAGGAUCCACCUCCGUCUUCCUACGGAAGAGCCAUCCUCGGCACUCACACUUAUCUUGAGGCUUUUAGUAGUUUCCAUUUACUUGUCUAUGAACUGUAUAGGCAACCAAGUAGUCCUUUACCGCGGACGCGGCUAUUCGAAUAGAUCAUGAUAACCCUGCAGGGGUGUACUUCUUCAUACAUGUUUCCACCACUUAGCGUCUGCACACGACAUGUGCUCGGCAGACUUCAAGCGAAAGCCGACGUGGGUGUAGACCACGACCUACCUAAACACCUAAGUCUCUAGUCCAGGUUUAUCGCCUAUCCAGGUUCCAUCCGCAGGAAGUCCGGCCGAGGCUUCCCAUACGGCCCCGAACGAUGUGAACAGGGUUCCCGAGAUACCUAACGGGUAUUCGGUACACCCAGCCACGUACCUACCGCAUCACAGCCCACCCCUACGGUCAGCGCUGUCCACGGCCUCCAGUAGGCUACAAACACCAGAAACUACUUGCAACUCCUGGACAGAGAGCUAGGGUGAAUAAGAAGUCGAGCGGGGUCAUAUUUCAGGGCCCAAUGCAUGGUAGUAGCUGUAUCUUAAAUCACACAUACAGAUCUCAGUGCUUAGGGUCGGCUUCAAUGAAACAACCCACCAUGUACUCCUACAUGGCCUCUCAUCGAUACCUUUACCAAAUCGUGUUCACCACACCACUCUCAUUACCGACAUAAUCAUUUCACUCUAGCCCAUCACCCAGAUGAACCAGACCUGACACGACUCUAAGCAUAGCAGGCAUAGCAAGGUAGGAACAACACAUACAUAUGGCUCAAUCAACUCCUACACAUGCUAGUGGGUUUCAUCUAGUUACUGUGGCAAUGACAGGUCAUGCAGAGGAAAUGGGUUCAACUACCGUAGCACACAGCAGUUUGAAACGCGUUGUCUUAAUGCAGUAAAAGAGAGCAGGAGCGAGAAUAUGGGAUUGUAUCGAUAUGAUCAAAUGGUUGGUUGCUUGCCUGAUGGUUCGAUGCACUGAUACGGUUCUUCGUUAGGGUAAUCACGGUACUCCUCGGAGGCAGAUCCUGCCGCAAAGAACACCGAUACACAACCAUCACCAAACAAUGUGCAACAAUAUGAUGCAUGCAUGAAACAUGGCAAUAUGAGUGUGUUGGGCUAAUGCAACUAAGACCAGAAGGGUUUGAACCAAUUUGAAUCAAAGAUUCAAAUUUUCAAACUCAAACAUGGUUCUUUAAAGUGUUUUUCCUUGUUCUGCAUUAAACAUCAAGUUAACUUGUUUAGUCAUGCAUGAAAAUAGUACAGAUGGAUAGAUUGGAUUUUUUUGAUCAUUUUUCAUAUAUAAUUUGUCUGAUUUGGAGUUACAGAAUAAAAGUUAUGAAUUUUUGAAGUUUAAAUUAUAUUCUGGAAUUUUCUAUAUUAGAUUAAAUCCAGAAAAUCAAUUACUGCGUCAGCCUGACGUCAGUGUGACAUCAGCAGGUCAACGGGACACGUCCGUGUCAAACCUGACAGUGGGUCCCGCGUGUCAGUGUGAUUAGUUAAACUAAAAUUAAUUUAAACUAAUCCUAAUUAGUUAACAGGGCUGGGCCCCACCUGUCAUUGACUCAGGGGAGUCAACCAGGGCCCACCCGUGGUCAAACCCGGGUCGGCUGCACCGGCGUUUAGCCGUCGGCGAGCCCGACGCGGCGGCGGAAGUGGUUUUGGCCGUUUCGGCCACCAAAUGGGUCGCGGAGACCAUCGGAGUGGAGCUGAGGACGAGUCGCAGCUCUUGGUGGAGUCCGUUGGGGUCGGGGUGGCCGGAGUUGGCGCCGGCGACGACUUUGGCGGCCACCGGGGUUCGGCCGAAGUCGAACUUGACGCAAGAGGGGGUCGGUGAGGUGCGGGGAGUAGCUAGUUAGGUGCUACGUGACGCGGUGAGCAUGAUGGACACCGUGGAGUGGUCGGAGGGUGACCGGGAGCACGUCGGCGACGAGCUCCACGGUGGUGGGUGCGGUUGAGCUCCGGGAGGUCGCUACACGGCUCGGGAGCAAGAAAGGAAGGGAGGGGAAGAUGGCUAAGCUCACGGGGAGUUCGACGAAGCCCUUGGUGCGGCCGGGGACGGACCGGAGCGACGACAGCAUUGAAGGGGAUCUCCGGCGACGGCGGUUCGGUCGAGGUCGAUGCAGUGGGCUCGGGCCUUGCGAGCGCUCGGGGCUCGGCUUGCUCGAAGGAGAGGAGGGUAGCGGUGCUCCUGGACACAGCGGCACGGCGUGCGGUCGACGGAGGGCGUGGCUACGGCGAGGGGGUGGCGGCGAUGGCGUCGGCCAUGGCAGGGAACGCGAGAGAGAGGGGUUGGGGAAGAAUGGAGGUGUCCUGCGGGUUCACGACGUUGCGUGGAGCUCAUCCAUCCAGCCCCGAGGCGAGGAGGUGGAGCAGGGCGGCAGUCAGCUGCGUGGCGCGCGCUGCGGUCGCCGUCGGGCACCUGCCUGCCUGCCUGGCCGGCAAGCAGCUCGCUGGAGCGGCGCUGGGCUGAGCCGGCAGGUGGGCCGGGUGCUGGCGCCAGGUAAGUUUUUCUAUUUUUCUCUGUUUUCUGUUUUUUUAAUACUUCUGCAACUUUGUUGAAUUAAUAAAAAUACUUAGGCAACUCCUAAAAUCACCAAACUACUCCUGGUCCAUAGUUGGAUUAUUUCCAACAUGAAACAUUUUAGUUUGGGGAUAUUUGAGCAUUUAAAUAUUUUAUAUAAUUUUAAAUGCCCAAAUUCAAAUAUUUAUGAUUUAAUUCACAAACCCUAAGAUGGCCUAGGAAAAUGUGCAUCACUUUUGGCAGAGGUUCUGAACCAAGACAAAAAUGAUGGGCAUUUUAGAAGGGCAUUUCAGGUUCAUUGAAAAAGUUUUUAGUAAACCCUAAUUGGUUUCAGAGGGGACUGGGGGUUCUGUCAUUCCCAUUUCAGGUUUCUGAUGAAAGAAUAAACAUGAUGCAACACUCUAAUGCAUGACUAGCUAGGGUGUGACAUACUUAUGUUUGAUUAAUUCUCCUAUGAGUAAAUGAAUUGAUCAAGUGUAUAACAAUUGUGCAGAUGUGCCCGAAGGUUCUUUCAUGCCUUUGGUCCAAUGAGGUCAACCGUUUCACCUCACGUGAUAAAUCGAGUUUUACAUACACUUGCUUGAAGCUCAUGAGUAUGAACGCUGGAAGAUAUUUUCACCUAAAUAUGUUUAAGGUAAUAAAUAUUCUGAUAGAGCCUUCCUUCUGCUGGCCGAGCUCCUCCUGAUAUGCUGUAUUUUAUCUUAGUUAAAUCUUAAUAAAUAGUUACCGUCAAUGGUAGUACAUGCCUAUGCAAAAAGAAAAAACGUCGAACUUGUGUUAUCUAUGUUAACAUUUCUUUUCAUCGUAUCAAUGCUUACACAGGUUCACAUAGAAUCUUAAUAUGGUUAUUUUCAUUUUAUUGUUAAAACAGGACUGUGAAAGAAGAGCAGUACCUAAACUGUUCCAUCACCAAACUAAAGAAACUACAGAUCCACCCCCGACAAACCUUCGUACGGAUAAAAAUCAUUCAUCGAUGCCAAUCUAAGACUGCCAUUGAGGAAUUGAGGGCGAGGAUACUCUAUUCAUUUUGAUGCAUGUACCAUGCAUCCAGUCUGUGGUGGGGGUGGAGCAGCGAGGCUCGAGAACCCAGGCAGCGGACGCCUCAUGACUUGGAGGAGCGACCAUACAGACAAGGAGCAGUAGCCUCAUGGAUCUACAGGGAAGCGUCACCGAGGGAUGGCUGAUGUCAAGGUGAGCUUCUGUCAAUCCUUCUCCCCCUUUAACUCCUGAUCUGUGUCACUCUCUCUCUCUCACUCUCUCUCUCUCUCUCUGCCCAUAUAUGCAAAGACCGCUCUGUUCAUUUCAUUCUCAAUGUUGUUACCGUGUUCAUAUUUUUUUGAUAAUUUGUAUGCACUUUGUAAGCAUAUAAAUGUUUUUUCUCCUAUCAUUUUUGUUGACAUGAUGAUAGGUUCUGGAAUUUUGGAGUUAACAGAUCUGUUUACAUAUUUGUUUGUUAGGCACACAUAGCUCUGGCUGCCGCGGAUAGGCAGUACUCAACGGAUGAUAUCCUCCUGACUCUGACUGAACCCUGUUUCGUGCAAACAUGCUCUGUAUUUUUUUUGGUAGGAACAUUAAGCUCUAAAGACAUAAUUAUUCAGACUGCAAGAUUUUUGCUUUGGGUUUCAGAAAAACUGUACAGACCUGCUUGCUGUAGUAUCCGUGUUAUGUACUUAGUGUCAAAUACAAAGUUCAAAUAUCAUUUGAUACAAGGAACAGGCAUCCGAACUUUAUAAAAGUAGAUAUAGCAAACAUUAGGCUUGAUUGCAUUAAUAAUUUAUAUAGUUGCAGAUGAACUUACUUCUGGUACUAAUCCUUUGAUGCUUUCCUUUUUAUUUUCACCAGUACAAGAUUAAGCUUGACAGUGAAAUCUUGGAUAGUAAGUAACACCCUUUCUGCAUAUUUAGAAUCUGUAUGCAAACUCACACCAGGUGCCAGGUAAGCUGGUUUAAUUUUACUUUGGUUUUACUAACCAAAUUAGUUUUAAUAAUCCAGUUCCAUUUUUGUCUUCCCUGCUAAUUUGUGCCUUUUUGUGUCAGAUGCAUCAUAGUUAAUAAAAAAACUUCUGCUGUAAUGGAGGUACUGCUCUUUAGUAGUUUGCUUAAUUUGAUUUUAUCACCUCAAGUGUUUUACACAAAAUUUGAACUAUGUGCAUCUACUAGUGAGUCCUUGGGCCUCGCUCUAUUUCAGUUUUCAAGAUGGAAGAAUGUCUUAAAGUUUCAACUACUAUUUACUAAUUGUAGGUUCCUUUGAAGAUUCCGCCUAAUCUUUAGAAACAGAAAAUUAGAAGUAUAUAUUGUCCGCUAGAUGCAAGCAUAAGUAGCUUAAAACUGAAACGCCGGCAUCUCGGACCUCCUCCAUGGUUUGCCAGGCUACCAAGAUCAAUAAUGUAGCGGCAUGAGGAGGGAAUUUGAUCAAGGCAUAAGUAGGUAAAUACCCCUAGCUAAUUUCUUUAUUAUAUUUUGCCCUUCUCUCACUUUAUUCUAUUCUACCUUUUAGUGAUUGUAUAAUUAAAAUAUUCAAUAAACAUACAUUUACUUAUGCUUCGGAGGAUAAGACUUCUAUAAAUACACCCACCCAUGCCUAAGAUUUUAGCAAAUAAAUCUUGGCUCAUUAAAUUUUGUUUUUAAUGAAAGGAACAAUUUCUUCAAUGACAAACUACAUCUUUUUCUCUGUUAGGCUGUAGAAAAGAUAGGUGAUAUUAAAUGUUUCCUCACAGAUAUCCUCUCUAAUCGACGAGAAUAAUUGAGGAUGUAACGAUGUGAACAUUGGUUGUUUAUCGACAUGGUACUAAUGUUGCCUUAAUGCACAAUAAAUUGAAAUAUCCUCCUCUCAGUAUAUGCCUCUACAAAAGGAUGCCUAAUGAAUUCAAUGGUUUGCCUCAUUUUUACAAAAAUUUGGACCAUUCUAGCUCAUUGAGAUAGUUUCUAAUUUAGUUUGUUGAUUAUAUUUUAUUACUACAAUUUUACUGGGCUGUGUCCUCAUGGAUUUCAAGUUUCGUUGGAGAUAUGUCAUCUACCAAUGUUAGAAGCACAGGUGCUUCCAUAGAAAAAUUUCUUCGUCUCGAUUCCUUCCCUUUGAAGGAAACUCCAAAUCGAGUCGUCCGUGGCAUGCGUAGGCUUGCUAAAAGCUGACUCAUGUCUUAGAGAUUUUUAGUAGUGAAUUUAAGUGCAUGGUUACUGAUAUGGCUAUGGAAUGCACAGGUUGUACAACAACUAAGUUUGUAGAGUGAAUUCACGUGCUCAUAAAGGAAGUGGUGAAACCCAAUAAACAAUAUCAUAUGGAUACAUCUUAAGAGGUGCACAAUUUGCGUAUAUUUCGAUUGUGCUCCUUCAGGCCAUCUUUGAUGCUCAGAUUGUGCUUUCAUUGACAUUCACAUAUUCUUGUUGUUAUUAUGUAUGUGCAGCUAUUGAGAUAGGUCUCUUAUAUGAAUUUUAGAUGUCAUUUCUAAAUUCAUGUUGUAACUAUUUCUGCCUUGCUAAGCUGAGAUCAGGGACUGCUGGUCAUUUCUAAAUAUCAGGACCCAACCAGCCUCAUUUCUAAAGAUCAGGACCCAACCAGCCUCAUUUCUAAAGAUUAGGAUCCAACCAGCCAUCCUAAUAUGAGUGUCGGAUAUUGGGAAGUUUGAAGAAGUCUAACAUGCAUAACAUUAGGAGCCCCCCUCUCCCAGUCGAGAUUAGGCAAGGCAGAUGGGAAGCAACGGCACCCCCUCUCCCUCGAGCUCUAGAUCCAUGGCACCAGCAGCGAGGUAAGCGGCGGCACCUCCUCUUCCAUCAUUUUUUCACCAUCUCCGGUUAAGUAUUAGAUUUGCUUGGGUCUGUAUGAAAGGUUUACUAAAAUUUUGAAUGAUGUCCCAUAUACUUUAGUGCUGAUAUGUUUGUCUUAAAUUCUUAUGGCCUGAUCUCUGUCCAUAGGAAUGUGACUAUUGGCUCCGUUGUCUCUUAAAAGGGAGAAUGGAUAAUGCAAAUUUGGUGACUAAACUUGGAGACAAGCUCUCCGUCUCCUCUGCAUGUAUCCCUGUCUCUGUUCUUAGGAGACAUGUUGAAGAGUGUCUUCCUCUUGUUGCUUUGUAGGGCACGUCUCAGAAUCCACCAUGUCAAGAACUGGUAGCCAAAGAUCUCCAUGGAACUGAGUGGCAUUUCUUGGUGACUUUACAAUUUGAGUAUUCAGCUUGAAGCCCUUAAAUUUCGAGUCCUUGUAUUCUUAUUGUUUUGGUGUAGCACUUCAUGUAACAACUGAAUGCUGAAUUCAUUACUUCAUGAGUAUGUGUGGCCUCUGAUUCUAUAUCAUGUCUUUCAGUGUUUUGUGUUUUAGAUUCCCUAAUCUCCUUGUAUUUGAGUGUCAUUUAUUUAGCUCCUUCAAAAUUUAUAGUGCAACUUCCUAAAUGCUAUGUCAAUGUGUUACCAAAGAUAGAAAAAAGAAACUGGAAUGGGCAGCUGCCAACCUAGCACCGCACAGCUUCCUCUCAGGUGGCGCCCCAACCCCUAGUUAAAACCAUUCAGCUGCGCAUCAAGGGCGGGCACUCGCGAUGUCCACGUCGGCAACGGUACGAGACAAAAAGGUUCCCUUCGUCGAGAAGAAAGAGAGAAAGAGAUUGCGCAGCCCCCAGUCCUCAUCCCCGAUUCCUCUCCCUCUCCCUUUCCCUCGUCUGCCGCCGCCAGCCCCACCGCGGACGGCCCUGUCAGAUCUCGUCCCGAUGAAGUCAAGGACGAGCUCCACCCGGACGAGGUCGAUCCGUCCCCUGCCACACUUCUCCAUCGCGUCACCAUAUUCGGAGGAGCCGCCACUGCUGCUGGCGCAUCUGCUCCUCCCGGAGUUGUCGCCAUCGGCAGGAGGAGUGCCGGACCGCGCGCCAACUCGAGGACCGCCGCUCCGGCGGACCGUUGUUUCUGGCCGCCGUCCGCCUCUGGUGCCCCGUCCAUUCGCCACCAGUCACGCACCAGGUAGGAACUCAAGCUCCCUGCCUCUACAUGUUCCCAGGUACGGCAGAUCUUCAUCCCCUUUUUUUCUAAUCUAUAUAUCAGAUAUGGUGGUGUGUGGCAUUUUUAGCUUGGCAGCUGUAGAUGGGAUCAUUUCAAAAGAUUCUUGGACACCCCUUUUAGUUGUCAUCCCUGGAUUAACCAGUGAUUCUGAUGCUGCUGUUAGUCUCUAACCUUUUUCUGAUGUUGACUUAUACAGUUAUACCUGCGUUGCAUAUUUGAAGAGAUCUAAGGUUCAUGAUUGGACGACAUAUUACUAUAUUUGUAACCAUUCUGAAGAUUUAAUUGGCUAUUGCAGUAUGCAGAACACUUGGUUCAUUCCAUAGCAAGAAAAUGGUGGAAUGUUGUUGUAAGUAACCACAGGGAUCUCGGUGGUGUGUCCAUUAUAGUAAGUUCAGUUAUAUAAUUUACAUUUCCAGCUGUUAAUAUUUCACUCCACAAUCUCCCUGUACAGAUAAAAGGUCGCCUCCCUGCUUGUCACCGCGCCAUGCCGCCUCACCCCGGAUAGUGGCCAUUGCUCCGCCCGCGGCGCCUUCCAGCCAAGAAUGCCAUCUCCACCCGUCCAGGUUCACCCUCUCUCUCUCUCUCUCUGAUGAACACAUCAUUUUAUUCUGACUGGAUGCUAGAGGUAUGUGAUGAUGCAGCAAAUUAUGUGUGUGUGCUUGCAGGUAACUCAGCCGACUGGCCUUUUCACGAUUUAAAACAAAAUGGUGUGCUGAAGAGAGACACCUUACUUUGGAUAGAGAUUAAAAUGGAAUCUGCUUGGACUAUGCUUUCCCAUACAGGUUUGAUUCGUAUAUACAUCUCAAGUUGGCUAUAUCUGGAUGGGUUGCAGUUUGCUUCUUUCAAAAAGACGAGGUGUUCUGGAAUGAUUUGCUUAUCUGCUUUAUGCAUGAUCAUCCAUUUUAUAGAUUAUAUAGGGUGUUGGUAUCUUUCUGUACACUGGCAUGAUCUCUAAAACAAGUCUCAGGCCAUAGAUAGGAUUGUCAUCAUGUAUGUUAUUUAGUUAUAUAGAAAAACAAAUCACAUAACUGCACAACACAGAACAGUACUGCUUCUGAACUGAUGUUGCCAUUGAUAAGGUUACUAAUGUUAGUUGGUGUCGGCUCUAGGGUGUAUAGUUUACACUCUAUGAAUCAUGUCAAGGUUCUGUAGAAAUCGGUUAUGUGUUUCAACAUUUUACAAUGUUAGUCGUUUAUCUAUUAUGUUCUACUCCCUCCGUUCCUAAAUAUAAGUCCAUUUGGAGAUUUCAAUAUGGACUAUAUACGGAGCAAAAUGGAUGAAUCUACACUCUAAAGUAAGUCUAUAUACAUCCGUAUGUAGUGUGUAUUGAAAUCUCUAAAAAGACCUAUAUUUAGAAACGGAGGGAGGGAUUUGUAUCUGUGGGUUUCUCAAAAUAAUUGUAUGUACUGGGAGAGGAGGUUUCCACGACUAUUGAUCAUUGAUCAGUUAGAACUUCUGCUGAAGAAAGGUGCCCUUUGGUUAACAUUUCUGAUAUAUAUAACAUACGACGUUGGAAUUUCCAUUGAAAUUUUGAAGGAAAGUACAUCAAUAGAAUGGCCUUUCUUCCGGUGGCCACCCCCUCCCGCCUUUCUGUUGCGUAUAUUCAUUUUGGAUAUUGACCAUGGUUGCAUAAAUUUAAGUUGCUUGUGAUCUUCUGUCUAUUUCCUGUUAAUUAUAAAUAAUCAGAACCAUCUCUGGUCAGUACACCAUAGCACAAUACCACACGGAUGCUUGGUAGUGCUUUUCAUAAAUUGGUAGUUUUUGCUUUGGUGGAGAGCUUUUGACGAAUUACUGGGUAUGCAAAUCUUGGUUUGAUCCGUCUACUAAUUUAUACUCUAAUGACAUGGAAGUCGAUGGCGUGAAAUGCCUAGCUGUUGACAUCCCCCCUCAGAGUUUUCUAGAGAGGUGAGCAAUUUAUAAUAACAAAAACAUAAACUAUUUUUGUUGCAGUUCUAGUUUGUUGAAAUGAGAUGGCUCUUGUUCCAUUGGACUCAAACUCUGUUACAAGAUUCCCCUUGCAUAAAUUUUUGAAGGAAGAGUGAAUUUCGUCAUGAACUUGACUGAACCAAACUUCUGAUCAUGUCAUUCCACUCCUUUCAUUAUGCUAUUUGAAGGUUUUGUGUCGAGUCAUUGACAUGUAAUGUUUUAGACAUAAUGGAUGAAAUCAUGUUAAUUCUAGCUCUGGUUCUUAUGUAGUGAUGCAUGCCGCUCACCUUUAUGUUUUCCAUUAUUUUGCAGAGAAUGUGUACAUGCAAAUUUUAUUCAUAGUGAACCUACGUGGUAGUUUUUGUUCUGAAUAUAUGCGUUCUACUCUGCUUGCAUCAGGCCAGUUCAUGCUUCCGAAUUUGUGGUUUUGAUCAGUGGCAAGCAUGUACAUAGCUGCAGCAGAAUUCAUUAGAUUAGACACGGUUACCAGUUUGUGGAUAGGUUGUAAUAUCUUUUAUCUUAUCAAUAUAUUUGAUGUUCGUUCGUGUAGCCUUUGGUUUCUAUAUAUUGAUUCAGUGUUGUACCCAUGCUGACAAUUCACGUACCAUUUCUGGCUAAAAAGGAAGGGAAACAAGCUUGCCAUUAAUUAAUGUAGUAAUUUGACUAGGUAAUGGUUUGUGGAAGGGAUUAAGAUGUGCAGACAACGUGGCUGCUCAGAGUAACUGUCCCAGGGCGGUUGACAACCAGGCAGCAGCGCAGAGAAAUUGUCUCAGGAUAGCAUGUUUGAGUAAGUUUUUUCAUAGUUUUCUCAAACACUUGUCUGCCAUUAUUUUAGAAGUAAGAGUGUUGAUUUUGUUACCUCCUGUUCUUAUGAAAAAAUAGUAAAAUCCUGAGAAUUAUUCCUGGUCUUAAUACAUCAUUUCGUUUACUGGUUUUGGGUCUGUUAUGGGUGUUGGAGGAGAUAGAUCAGGCAGAACUACAACCCGAGGUUGUGCAGGUUUGGUAUACCUCUUGCCAAGGUUAUAUCAUUUAAAGUUUGGCGAAAGACAAAAAUAUAUAAUAGGCAAAUAAAGCUUAGUUCAUCACUAAAAUAAUUAUGAAUAUCAAUGCAGUAAAGCUAUGAUGUAUGCUGUCAAUAACAUUUUAUAACUCUUUGGUAACAUCACUGAAACUAUUGAUUUGUCUUCUCUAAUUUAUUACAGUUAGCUUUGUUUUAGGUUGGGUGUUAAUAGAAAACAUUCAUUAUUUGCAUCAGCUAUAAGUUGACAUUAUGCAAAUGACAAUAACAAAAAUAGUAUGACACAAAUUCAGGUGAUGACCAACUAAGGAGAGGUUGAUGAGAUCAAUGACACGAGAGGGGUGGACAGGCAGCUGCAAAGGAUCCGAGGAGCAGCCGGUGAACAAGAGGAGCAAAGACAACAUCUCUUGCGUCACUAUAAACAUCUGCUGCUAGCAGAGCUUCAGCCGGUGAACAGGAGGAGCUUCAGCUCCGUCGUCGUAAACUUCAAAUGUUGGCCGAGCUUCAAACCUCUAGCCUGUCAAGUGUACAAUUGGUCCAAUAGCUCUAGUUGGAUGGCAUUUUUCUUUCUCCCUUAUCCAAGCUAUUUUCGUCCAUCCGAACAUAUGGGGAGGAAAUAGGAGUUGCGGUAAUUGACGUCUGAGCUCAUGCUCAUCUACCCGUUGAAACUAAAUUUAAAAAUAUUUAAAAGAUAAAAACGUGUAUUUUUUGACAUUAAAGAUGGCCAGUUGUGCAAAAAUUUAUGAUGUUUGGACAUUUAAGGACCUGCAAAAAAAAACCAAAUCAGGUCUAAAUAGUGUUCAUUUUCUAAGUUUUUUUCACGGUCAAUUUUUUUUUGUCACGACAUCCUAGAAUGUCCAAACACCACGAAUGUUGCCAACCACAUCACACGCUAGAGCAUCUUUAGAUGCCAAAAAAAAAUCAAUUUUCUUUUUUGCAAUUUUAUUUGAUUUUACUGUUCGCCACACUUGUCGAACCGGAGAUGCUCUUAGAUUUAGUUGGGGUGAGAGGAGAUGAGGCCAAUUUCAACAAGCGGAUGCAGAUUUGAUUUUGGGUUUUUCAGUCGGCUUAGAAUCCAAAUCGGACGGGCGUUUGGAGUUGGCCUUACGGUGUGACCUCAGCCGUCUGAUCUUGACGCUCCUGCUCCCCUCCGCAUCCGACAGCGGACUCACCGCCGUCGUCCGCUGCCUUCCUUCCCGGCGUCCAACGCCUCCACCAGUCCCCUCGCCGAAUCAACGAGCGGUCGCCGCCUCCCGAGUCCGGGCGGGUCGCCGCACCGCGCUGACGACGCCACCACCGGCAGCCACCUACCCACCGUCGCCGCGCCUCCCCGGGGGUUCCUUCUUUCCGGGCCCGCAGCCGCAGCUCGUCGGAUUCGCUCCGCAGUUCAGUUAGCGGGGCUAGCCCUCGCUGCUGCGGCGGCGGCUCCCUAUGGGGAGCUUCGCCGUCAUCUCCCAGCAUCCGGUAAGUCCAGUCCUCCAGCAGAUUCCCAAUCCGCCACGCUCCAGUCAACCAAGCAUUUUCAAUCAUCGAGCAUGAUAGCACAACGCUGACUGAAAAAUUGCAAUGCAGCAUCAUUCUUUUCUGAAGAGGAAGAAGGGAUGCACGAGCGAGCCGUUUGGAUUUGGGUGGACGAACAUGACGUUUGUUUGAAGGGAUCUCACCGCUCCCUUGUGCUGUUUGCAGUCCUCUGCACCUACCACAGCUCCACCGGUCGCAGUCUGCAGCAGUCCACGCGUUCUCAUUCAGAGGUCUUUGUUUCCCUUACACACACGUUCACAUUGGCCUGCCGUGUCCAGUCAAGCAUGCCUUGGCGUCCAUGUCUGGUACACAAAUCCUUCAAAGGUCAUCUUCACCCAAGAUCAUCCAACCUCAAACCUUAGCACUCCCUGUUGUUCUUUCACAUCGACAUCAUGCCUUCAGUCUUGCGUAUGCUCUGUAUUUUGCUCAGCCUUCUCUGUUUCAACACCUCAAUACUAGCUGCAGCACAAGCAAACAUGUCUGAGAUCGAUCGCCAUGCCCUCCUUUGCUUCAAGUCAGGCAUCAACUCUGAUCCCCUUGGCAUCCUACACUCAUGGGGCAAUGGCUCGCUUGACUUUUGCAGCUGGAAAGGGGUCGCCUGCGGCACCAAGUUUCCACCCCGGGUGGUCUCUCUUAACCUCACCGCUGCUCGUCUCGGUGGGCAGUUAUCUGGAUGCGUGGGCAACCUGACAUUUCUUUCUCGGAUGAACCUUGCUGAUAAUCAUCUGUCAGGAACCAUCCCCGAAGAGUUGGGUAAGCUUCCAAACCUUCAUACACUGAUUCUUGCAGGCAGCAAUCUGGAAGGUAACAUCCCUGAUUCACUAGGCGCUAGCAGUUUUCUUAGCUAUGUCGACCUUGCAAACAACACACUUACUGGCAAAAUCCCUCUCUCAUUAGCCAGUAGCUCCUCACUCAGCAAACUUAUACUGUCACGUAAUAGCCUCUCAGGAGAGAUCCCUUCUACUUUGUUUGGUAAUUCAUCCAAGCUUACCGUCGUUGAUCUCCAGAUGAAUUUUUUCACUGGUCCCAUCCCACAUUUCCAUAAGGUCACAACACUCAAAUUUCUUCGUCUGACAGACAACUUCCUCUCUGGGAGCAUACCUCCUUCAAUAGGAAAUGUUUCUUCCCUCACUUCUAUAUUGCUCGGCCGAAAUAGGUUAUCGGGAUUAAUUCCAGAGACUUUGAGUCACAUUACAAAACUGCUUGAGCUUGAUCUAAGUUUCAACAGCUUAUCAGGGAGCGUCCCGUUGUCUUUUUACAACAUGACAUCACUUGAAUUCUUUAAUGUGUGCAGCAAUGCCCUUGUUGGACAGAUGCCAUCUCACAUUGGUUUCUCACUACCAAACCUCCAGUUCCUUAUCAUGGGAAGCAACAGGUUGGAGGGCCUGAUCCCUGCUUCACUAUCCAACAUGUUAAAUCUCCAAACACUUGAUCUUUCAAACAACUCGUUACAUGGCUCUGUGCCAUCUCUUGGUUCUUUGGCAAACUUGGGUCGGUUGGAUUUAGGAAUGAACUUUCUAGAAGCACAUAACUGGUCAUUUCUUACAUCUCUAGCAAAUUGCACCCAGCUGACAAAGUUGUCCUUGGAAGGGAAUGUUCUAAAUGGCAGCCUACCUAUAUCAAUUAUUAAUCUUUCCAGGAGACUAGAACAUUUAUCGCUUGGGUCAAACCAAAUUUCGGGCUCCAUACCUGUUGAGAUUAGCAAUCUUGUUAAUCUCACUUUGCUUGGGAUGGAAAGCAAUUUUCUUUCUGGAAGCAUACCUUCUACCAUUGGCAAGCUACGAAACCUAUAUGUCCUAAAUCUGUCAAAGAACAAAUUAUCAGGUCAGAUCCCCCCCUCAAUUGGUGACAUUACUCAACUGGGCAAGCUUUAUCUUGAUGAUAACAACUUGAGUGGAAACAUACCUGGUAGUUUAGGUCAGUGCCCGGGGCUUCUUGAACUAAACUUGUCUCGAAAUAGUCUUGAUGGCUCAGUACCAUCCGAAUUGUUUGCUAGUCCUCCACUCUCCUUGGGUCUGGACUUCUCACACAACAGUCUCACAGGGGAACUACCAUUGGUAGUUGGUACACAUAGCAGUGGUGGUCCAGUAUCCCUUCACAUGGAAGGAAACAAGUUUCAUGGACAGAUUCCAGAAAGAUGGCAUCUACUAGUAUCAACCCAACAUAUUAAUCUUUCUCAUAAUGACUUAUCUGGUGCCGUGCCUGAAUUCUUUGAGCGAUUUGAUAUGCUGAAGCAACUUGAUCUGUCUUACAAUAACUUGGAAGGGUCUGUUCCUACUAGUGGGAUCUUUAAGAAAUAUGCUGCAGUAGUUCUGGGUGGCAACAAGGGACUCUGUUUAAAUUCCUCCAAGUUGAUAAAAAUAAGAAAUUCCUUUAGGCCAGCAUUACCAGUUUGUCCUCGCAUCUCAGCUUCAGUGACUAAAUCAAAACACCAUCUGUCAUUGCUGACGACCUCGCUGCUAAUUGUACUACCAACACUUAGUAUUGGUUCCAUGGUGUUGUUAUGGUUUCUGCUCACUCUUUGGAAGAAAGGGUUGUUUUCGUUUUCACGAUGGGAUCUUGUGUCCAAGGUGUUUCCUAAUAGAAGAGAAGUGCAUACAGCCCCGUGCCAUGAUGAUAAGAAGCUGAAGAGAGUGUCAUACCAGGACAUUCUUAAAGCUACCAACUGGUUUUCUUCGGUCCAUACUAUCAGCACAACCUGUACUGGUUCAGUUUAUGUUGGUAGGUUCAAGUCCGACAGGAGCCUAGUUGCCAUCAAAGUAUUCAACUUGAGUGAACCUGGUGGAUAUGAUAGUUACCUCAUUGAGUGUGAAGUGCUACGAAGCACCCGCCAUAGAAAUAUAAUGCGACCUGUGACCCUAUGCUCAACAUUGGAUUCACAAAACCAUGAGUUCAAAGCACUAAUCUUCGAGUUCAUGGUUAAUGGCAGCCUAGAGAAAUGGUUGCAUUCUGACCAACACAAUGGAAUCACAGAUAAAGGGCUAAGCUUUGGCCAGAGGAUAUGCAUAGCAGCAGAUGUGGCUUCUGCUCUUGAUUAUGCCCACAACGAACUGACACCUCCUCUGAUCCAUUGUGAUUUGAAGCCAAACAAUGUCCUUUUGGAUGAUGACAUGACUGCGCGGCUCAGUGACUUUGGCUCAGCGAAGUUUCUAUCACCAGGUCUGCUAAUUCCUAAAAGCCUGGAUGAUGUUGGAGGGACAAUUGGAUACCUGGCACCUGGUGAGUUUUACCUUUUCUGUUUCCACUUAAUUAUAGUUUGUAUCAUAUGUGUGUGUAUUAUCUAAACACAUUACAUCUUCACAGAGUAUGGAAUGGGUUGCGAGAUCUCUGUAGACGGCGAUGUGUAUAGUUUUGGAGUGCUUCUACUGGAAUUGCUUACUGGAAAACGACCUACUGAUGAUAUGUUUGUCGAUGGACUUAGCCUUUGUAAGUUCUGUGAAUCUAUGUUACCCGACAGAGUUGCAGAGAUUCUUGAUCCUCAUAUGGCGCAUGAGGAGCAUCAAGGGUGCGCAGAAGGAUGGAUUCAGAGAUAUAUUGUCCCCUUGGUUGCCCUUGGGCUGUCAUGUACCGUGGAAUCUCCAAAGGAUAGGCCCGGAAUGAAAGACGUUUGUGCAAAACUUUCUGACAUUAGAGCCUCUUUUCUUUAACUGUCAUGAUGAUUAAUGAAUAUAUCAAUUAUGUUAGAGCAUACUGAUUCAUUGUAUUAAGAAUGUGUUUUUUUACUGGUACAGUGCAUAUUGUACCCAAUCUAUUUGACAAUCUGAAACAAACUGUGGAGACAGAGAUGUGAUUUGCAGUUAGUCAUAGUAGGAUAUUGGAAAUAUCAACCAUUCUUUGUUCCAGAUUUGUUGAUUAUUUUUAAUUUUGAUAUUGACGUGUAUGUAUUGUCAAAUUCUUGCACUAAUUUAUUUGCAAAGGGUGUAUGUAAAGGUGUUUUCCGAUGAAGUGAUAUGUUUAAUUUACAGCCUGAUGGGUAAUAUUCGAAUGAUAUGUCUUAAGGUAUUGCAUCCUGCAUCAGUAGCCAAUUAUAAAGUAAAGGGCAGCCCCAGUGCAUGUAGCUCCCGCUUGUGCAGGGUCUGGGGAAGGGUCCGACCACUUUGGGUCUAUUGUACGCAGCCUUUCCCUACAUUUCUGCAAGAGGCUGUUUCCAGGACUUGAACCCGUGACCUCAUGGUCACAAGGCAACAGCUUUACCACUGCGCCAAGGCUCCCCUUCAGUAGCCAAUUAUAAAGUAAAGAAAGAUAUUCAUAUGACAUAACGAACAAUCCUCUUUUGCUCUCAAACUGUUAUCUCCUUGCAUGAAUGAGGUUGCAUAUGCUUGAGUUGUCCAUGGCCCAUUAUUGUUAAAUGUUGAAAGGAAUGAAAUUCCUGAAUAAGUUUUUUACGUCAGGAGAGGAACACUAAAGAGGCCCAUGAUGGUGUUACUUGAAAGGGAUGAAAUUACUGAAUAGGUAGACAAGUAUGGGCAAGACAAAUAAAACUUCUUUUUUUUAGGUGGAGAUGACAACAAAGACUGUUGAAAAAAAAAGAUAGUAACAUAAAUUAAUACUGUAUGAUCCAUCAUUGCACUGCCAAGGCAUUCAUUUAAGUCAAUCUUGAGUCUCCAUGACAUUGUUCUUCGGUAGGCGAAGUGUGAGUGUGUGCACUUAUACUCGCUAUUUUUCAAAAACCAUAUGAAAUGACAUUUUUCCUACCAAAGUUUUAAUUAACGNNNNNNNNNNNNNNNNNNNNNNNNNNNNNNNNNNNNNNNNNNNNNNNNNNNNNNNNNNNNNNNNNNNNNNNNNNNNNNNNNNNNNNNNNNNNNNNNNNNNNNNNNNNNNNNNNNNNNNNNNNNNNNNNNNNNNNNNNNNNNNNNNNNNNNNNNNNNNNNNNNNNNNNNNNNNNNNNNNNNNNNNNNNNNNNNNNNNNNNNNNNNNNNNNNNNNNNNNNNNNNNNNNNNNNNNNNNNNNNNNNNNNNNNNNNNNNNNNNNNNNNNNNNNNNNNNNNNNNNNNNNNNNNNNNNNNNNUCUUGUACGAGUGCAUAACAUGUUGUUCUGUUUCAACCUGUUGUUUACUCCGGCUUCUUGUGGAAGCGCCCUCUCAAUAUACACUUCCAUAAAUUUCCUGUAAUUCAUCCAUGAGUUAAAGACUCUUGCAUUGAGUAUCCAAACCUGCAGUUACGUUUAUUUACAAAGCUACACAACAUAUAUGCAAACAUGAUUAGGAUAAAAUAUUUAUAAUGAUAUGAUGUAAUUAUAGUUGGAAAAUGGUGUAUUGGUUGAUUACUUACUGUGGGCAGUUCCAAUAAGCAUGAAUUGGCCAAAAAGAUCCAUAUAGUGAAUAGAAGCUUGAAUGCCAACCAUUUCAGAUUUGCACGGCAAAAAGGACACGGUGAUUUCUUUACACAAGAAAUGCUACUUUGCCAAAAAGAUAGGUAACAACUGAAUCCAUAAAGUGAUCACUUCUGCUUCGGUACACCCCUCCCGGUGCUAAACACAUCAACGGUGGAGAUCUCUUCAUACCCCGUCAUAAUAAAGGCUAGGUUGGUCUUUUUUAAUAGCAUGCAGUCCGUACCGAGCUCGAUACGCGGCCUAUGCAUGUAACGCCCCUGGACCAACCCAUUUUACAUUUUUGUCCCUCUUCUGUAAGACCUUCAAAAAAUAAGUGCCCAACGAGAUUCAAACACGGCACCUAUACCCUUAGUACAACCGUGGUAACCAACCACACUAUUUUCUUGUUGUGUCUGGUCACCUUCUUUUUUUCUUCUUUAAUUGUAACCCUAACCAACACAAGUCUACUUGGAUUUUUUCGGUUUUUGUUUGUCCAAUUUUCUUCUAUUUUUUAUUUUUCUCUUUCUUUAUAUUUUUAUCUUUUUUUUAAAUUCAUGAAUUUUUCCUUAAAUCUGUGUACUUUUCAAAUUCCUGCACUUUGUUUUCAAAUCCGUGAAUUUUUUUCCAAAUCCGUCAAUAUUUUUUCAAAUACAUGAACUCUUUUCAGCUUUUACAAACUUUCCUUUAAAGCCCGCAAUUUUUUUCAAAUUCAAGAAUUUGUUUUAUGAAAAUUGAUGAACUUUUUUUAAAUCCAUGAAUGCUUGGGGCGCCCCCACAAGUGCCCGACGGGAGUGAUGCAGUCGCCUCUUACAUUUCAUAAACAUUUUUCUAAAAAAACAUGUACAACUUUUAAACAUGCGAGUCUUUUUCAAAUAUCACGAUCAAUUUUUUAAAUGCUAUGAACUUUUCUACAAAUAAUUCGAACAUUGUUUUAUAUUUUCAUGAACAUUUUAUAAAAUUUCACAAAAUAUUUAAACGUGUGAACAUUUUUGUAAAUAUACGAUUUUUUUGGUUAGAUGAUAUGAAAUAUUUUUAAAAUUAAGUUAACAAAUUUGCACUACACUUUUUUUAAUACACCGUGAUUUUUUUUAAAAAAUUAAGUAAAUGCUAUGUCUAGUUACCCUGAGACGGUACUAGCGCUCGCCUAUAGAGUUCGCUCGAGUGGGCUAGUCCAUUAGGAGCUGUGCACGUGUUUUUUUUUUCCGAAGCUUCCCUGGACCGGCACAGACCGGUGUAGGAACCUUCCGCCCAGUAUUGGGAAGGUUUUGCAAGUUUAUUUUUUAUUUAUGUUUUUAUCAGUUUAUAAUGAAUUACUUUUUUUCAGUUUUCUCUUUUCUUUUUCUUUUUCAAAUUUUCAAAUACAUGUCAACUUUCUAAAUUCAAGUUAAUCAGUUUCUCUAUAUAGGCUGGACAUUUUCUAGACACAUGUUAAAUAUUUUUUUCAAAUACAUGAUGAAUAUUUAUCUGAAUACAUGUUGACCAUUUGGGAAAAGCUGACUUCUUUUAAUACCCGAUGAACAUUAUUAAACACAGGUUGAACUUUUUCAAAAUCUUAUGAUUUUUUUAAAUUGUGCAAACAUUUCAAAACAGUUUAUGAACAUUUAUUGAUAGAAGUUUGCGAAGUUCAGAACAUGUAUUCAUUUGAAAGUAAGUUCACGGAUUUAAAAAAAACUUCACAAAUUCAAAAAAAGGAAGAAAAAAAACUUCACGAAUUUAAUAAAAAGAAAAAUAAAAUAGAAAAAAAUACGAAGAAUAAAAUGCGAAACAAAACAAAAAUAAAAUAAAACCAGACCGAGAAGAUGCCAACAAGAAGAAUAAAAGAAGUAACUAGGCACAAAAAGUGAGUUGUCCCAGUUGAUUACAACGGGUGAAAGUAGGCCGCACUUUAAGAUGUUUUAAUAGUAAUUUAAAAUGUCUUAUAUUUAUUUACUGAGGGAGUAUAGAUUAACCAGAUUAUUUGGCUACUAAGGGACCUAUGCCCCCCUCCCCCUAAAAUUCUAAAGCAUGGCCUAAAAGUUCAUUUUUUUUUCUACCGGUAUAAGUUUGUUGGCUUUCAGGACGCGCUACUGGUGAAGAGCAAGACGCAGUUUGACAAGACUAUGAGGUACACGACACCACCGACAUCAUUUGGGGCAACACCAAGCUGUUCUCCAGGGUUGUCACAUUUUAGUUCUCAAGCUGAUGCUUGCGAACUACAAUGUGGUGACCGAUAGGGUUGCAAUUGACCAGACCGUGACAUUGGCAGCGUGAGGGCAUGUCAACAACGAGGACCUCAACAAUAUUGAGACGUAGCUUGAUCGCCCGUGGAUGAACCACACCCAUGUCAUGUUUAUGCAGAGUUACCUCGGCGAGCUCAUGGAGGGUACGGGCUGGGUGGAUUGGAAGGGCUGGGCGCCCUUAAACAAGGAUGAUCAGGUGAAGUUGGCCGUCGUGACGUUCACCUGUAAUACAUGGAAUACAGCAGCUAUGACCCCUGGCUACCUCCAAGGUGAAGCGUUGCGUCAAGUGGAGUGGCUGUCACCGCGUCAUCCAUGCGCGUGAUGCUGCCAAGUACACCGUCGAGCGCUUCAUCACCGGAAACCAGUGGUUGCCUGACCGCCAGGUCUUCUUCAAACCUGCAAGUAGCUAACUGGCUCAAUCGCUCAGCAGCCAAGUGACUAGUACAACCUGCUCCGGAUUAUAAGACAUUUGAAUAUUUUAAUAUAAAUUAUAUAUGGACUGAAAUGAACGAACAAACACACUAAAAUGUGUCUAUAUAUAACCGAUUUAGAAAAAAAUAGAACAUCUUAGAAUUCAGAAUGAAGGGAGUACGUCGGUAUGCGGUAUGAUAACAUAACGCUCCAUAAUGUGGACAUGAAUAGUGUGAGGUGGGGUGGGACCAAAUCCCCACGGGCACAUAAGUUCUGAUUUUUGUUUCUCACCCCAUCUGAUAGGUGUGGCCCGUCAGGCUUAUUUUUUAAAAUGUCACGUCGCCCGGCCAUGUUGUCCACAUAGUUGUUGCCCACGUGGCAGUUGCACGGGUCAACUGUAUGCCAACUAAGUGAAAUGUGUAUGUCAAGUCAUACUAGCGACCAUAUUGAGGCGCUUAAGCUACUUUAGUAAUUGUAUUUAGGGUACUCUGAAGUACAAUGACCAAAGUGAGACACGGACUCGAAUCCAGUGACCAUAGAUGAUUUUUUUUCUCUUUUGUUUUUNNNNNNNNNNNNNNNNNNNNNNNNNNNNNNNNNNNNNNNNNNNNNNNNNNNNNNNNNNNNNNNNNNNNNNNNNNNNNNNNNNNNNNNNNNNNNNNNNNNNNNNNNNNNNNNNNNNNNNNNNNNNNNNNNNNNNNNNNNNNNNNNNNNNNNNNNNNNNNNNNNNNNNNNNNNNNNNNNNNNNNNNNNNNNNNNNNNNNNNNNNNNNNNNNNNNNNNNNNNNNNNNNNNNNNNNNNNNNNNNNNNNNNNNNNNNNNNNNNNNNNNNGAAUAUAUUUCUCAAGUUUGUAACCCAUCGUCAGACUGAUUACAAGGGGAAUUACAUAAGCACGUGUAAUCGUGAUAAGAGGUAGGAACGCCAGGAGGAGGCAGCCUGCUUGUGCACCGGUUUCUUCAUCCGGUGCGUCCAGAGCAUGAGAUCAUCCACGAGUUUCCUGAGAGUGAGGAUACUGUGGUGAUUUUGUUGCUUGAAGGUCAUAGCGUUUCUGGAAUCCCAAAUCUUCCAUAGGAUGAUGAGGAGGACGGAGUGCCAGAUUACCGCAUCUACCUGUGUAGGUAGGCGGCAGUUCCAGAGUCCAUCAAUGGUAGUCGAAGGAGAGAUGCCGAUCCGUUGCCAAAUACGUUGUGAAAGUGGACAGUUUAGGAAUAUGUGUGAGCUGGUUUCACCAUCAUAUCCACAGCGCGGGCAUAGUGAGUCGGUGACGAUAUGCUUGCGCUGAAGGUUGCUUUUUGAGUUGAGUCGAUCCCGAAACAGGAGCCAUGCAAAGAUCUUAACGCAAUUUGGAACGCGUGAAGACCAGAUGGCAACGGCAUGCACGUCGUGGUCGUCAUCGUGGGAGCCCAUGGUUAGCGCAUAUGCUGCCCUCGUGGAGAAGCAUAAGCCACCGUUGAGGUAGCGCUCGUCCGGUCCUGUCGACAACCGGAAAUCCUGCAAGAGAGACAACAAAACGCACAACUCGGUAGCAGCAUCAGAUGUUAGGCGGUUCCGGAGGAUUGUUUCCAAACCGUGAUUCAGGACAGCAGCCACACGAGCUAGUGGUAUAGUGGUGUGUGAAUAUAGGCAGGGGAAUAGAGUAGCAAGGGGUUGGUUGUGUAUCCACGUAUCAAGCCAGAAGUACGUAUUAGUGCCAGAGUUUGUGAGUACAAAAGAGAUGGCAUGAAGUGCUGACAGCUGUUGAUUUAUUGUUCGACAAAUAAAGGAGUGACUAUUUUGUGGAGCAAUGAGGGCAUUUGGGUGUUGUAAGGCGAUCCAGUCUAACCAAGGUGUUGUGUCUGGUAAGAGAGCUUUUACAGCAAAUUUCAUAAGUAGGCAUUUGUUUUGCUGAUGAAGAUUUUUUAGGCCUAGACCACCACAGUUCUUUGGUUUACACACAUUUUUCCAGGCAACUAAGCAUUGAGCACCAGUGCAAGUUUCCUCCGCAGCCCAAAAGAAGGCAAAUUUCAUAAGUAGGCACCAGUGCAAGUUUUCUCUUUUGUUAUCUUGCAAAAAUAUGUGGAAGCAGUCAAUAAUGGUCUUGUUGGGCAAUAAUGGGCAUAGUUUGCUUUUCUUUGUAAAUACAAUAGCAAUGUCAGUGAAAAUGUGAGUGUAGGAACACCAACCUAUCCAUCUAAAUACUUAACUAUAUAUACGUUCUGAAGAAUCUUAAGAAUAACAUGAUGAAAUAAUUACCACUCUUGAAUAACUUUAUAGAUUUGUUUCAUGACCAUUUUUCUGCCAGUUAGAUGUGGUAGGCGAUCCUUAGUAUUGAUCUUUGCUAGUGUUGUGCCAACAUUCUUCAUUUGUUUCAACAUAUGAUUCUACGUGAACAUAGAUGCAGUAGUAUUUGAAUUUGUUAUUAUGAUGGUACAUGGUGCAGUUACGUCUAGUAAAACAACGUGCAAAUAUGUGUAGAAUGUUGUCAUCGUCAUUGAUUUAACAAAAUCAUUAUUUGCUUCAACCUGAUGUUUUCUCUGACUUCUCGUUGAAGCGCUAUCUCAGUGAGAAAACAGAUUCUCAAAUUUCUUUGCCUGACAGAGAACUUCCUCUCUUUUUUCCAAAAAAGAGUGAAUUUUAUUGACUUAAAAUGAAGCAUCGAGAGGACACAAACACAAUGAGCAUACACCCGGCCUCUGUAUAUCUAGGAUGCACACAGCCAAUACCAACGCGCACACGCAAAAACAAGCCAACAAUAGCAUAGUCAUAUAAGACCAAAGCUAUAAGUAGGCGAGGAAAAAAAAAGUAAACCCAAAGCUAUUAGAUCUGUGGUCGGUAAACUACAACAAUGACAAUAUCCGCACCAACCAUCUCAUGACACCACACAUAUGACAAAGUUUUUCAACAACAACGCCUUCAGGAAGGGAGCGACGCUCAAGCACUGUCGUCACCGGAUCCAAGCACGCAAGGUCAGAAUCUAGUUUUCACCCUAAAGAACCAGUCCGAGCAUCUUCGAGCAAUGCCUCUAAGAAGGUAACGACGUUAAGACGUUGUCAUUGCCUGGUACAACCAACUCGGGUCAGACCAAGGCUUUUGCCCCGUAGCUCGAGACUGGGUGCUCAAGUAGCACCACCAACGAUGUCGCUCAUGUGUUGUCACCACCAUUUUCCACGAUCUCGGCAGCUACAUGCGAUGUGCAACCGCCGUCGCGGCACAACCAUUCCUUUGUGUCAGAGCAUCUCCAACAGCCGCACUAAACAAGCGCCGCGUCACAAAAUAGGCCAUUUUAGCGCGCGCGCAACCCGACGAGUGGCUCCAGCGGGCGCGCAAUAACCGCGCGCACGGUAUAAGGAGUUGGGCGCGCGGUCAGAUACGCUAUCUCGCGCGGUGUAUUUGGGGCGCCCGGUUCCGCGCGCGGCACAUUCGAGCGCUCGCGCCGCACUCUCUCCUCUCCUCCUCCUAUGCCCCGCGUGCGCCGGCGCCGGCGAACUGCACCCAUGGACGGACGCGCUGGCACCCCACUCACCCCAUUGUACAGCCGUGACCCCCCCACCGCCGCCGCCGCCGAAAACCCUAGCGCGGGGAGCGUUGGCGUCGCCACCGCCGGAGCUCCGCCGAGCAUCGGCCUCGCACGCAGCCUCUUCUUGCCGCCGCGGAUGACCACGGCGACGGGUGGCGUCGCGCCGGUGCUGUCCCGUGCCGCCGCCGCACCAUCGAAGCUCCCCAAUGCAGCGUGGCCGAAGAAGGGCAAAACAUCCACGAAGAAGAACAAGACGGCGGACGGCUCCGGCAGCUCGAAGGCGAGGGAAAAGAAGCUUGCAGGGCGUUUGGCGGGCACGGCGGCUACCGAAGCGCCGGCGAGCUCACUCAUUGAGCCGGCCGCCGACGCGCACCACGUGUUCGAUGAAAUUCCCCCAAGGUAAAAAAAAAUUCCAACUUUUAUUUUCUUGUUAUUUUUUCAAUGCAUCAUAUAGAUAGCUUAUUUGCAUUGUUCAAAAAACUUUGUCCUCUCAACGAUGAUGCAUACAUGCCAAUUAUGGGUGUUGGCUCCAACAAUUCGCAUAGGUAUCAAACCAAUGACAUCCAUUUCGAAGACCAUGAGUUCGAGGUGGACGAGGAGGGUGAGGGCAUUGUCGAUGCGCCGAAAGGAAGAGCAGGCAAUUACACCAACAAAGAUGACAUCUUACUAUGCAAUACUUGGUUGCAAGUGUUGAGGGAUCCAUCCGUUGGAGGUGAUCAAAGUAGAGAUGCUUAUUGGCGGCGGAUGAAAGAACACUUUGAUGCUCACAACGUGAGUGGAAUUGACCGCUCCGAGAGAUCACUUCGGUCUCGAUGGUCGACAAUCAACUCGGAUUAUCAAAAGUGGGCGGCCGCACAAAAGUCGGUUGACAAGUUGAACCCAAGUGGCACAAAUGAGGACGAUAGAGUAAGUGGCAUUUCAUACAUGUUCAUCAUACUUGUUUUUGGUGUCCGAAGUGCUAACUUGCUUUGUUUUCAUGUAGUACAACAUUGCACAAAACUUGUUCAAAGAAGAGGAGAGGACAACCAAGAUGGGGAAGAUCAAGAAAGGAAGGAUCUUUACGUUGCCUCAUUGCUAUGAAGUGUUGAAGGAUGAUGAGAAAUGGAAGAAGCGUGAUGGUUUGGAUGAUUUGCAUUUGAGCAACAAACGCAAGCGAACAAUUGAGUUGAAUGAUGAUGAGGAGGAGGAAGAGGAUGAUGCAUCAAGUGAUGACGACAAGAAAAGCCCCACACCCAACUCGGUUUCAUACUCGAAGCCAAAACGACCGGAUGGGUGCAAGAAAGACAAAACCGAAAAGAAGAAGAGGAAAGGAGAUGAUGAACUCAAAAAUGCUAUGGAAGCUAUUGUGAAGGCAAGAAAAGAAGCCAACGAGGUGAGGAAAAUGGCAAGGAACCAAGAUAUGAAAGUGCGUUAUAUCGACUAGAGGGGGGUGAAUAGGCGAUUUUUAUGAAUUCUUCACUGAGGAAUUUGCUGGUGAGGAAAUUCCUAAAUGAAGAACUACUUGCAGCGGAAUAAGUACUCAAAAGUAAACAUAGCAGAACACACGCAUAGUCAUCAUGAUGAAAUGAAGACAAGCAUAGAGUACAAAAAGCGUAAACACAUGAUAACACAAGAUGAAGAUGGACAGACUAAAGAAAUUGAACUGAGGAAAUUUGGAAAGUCUUCAGUCAAAAGUCUUGAAACAGAUAUGAACAAGCACACAACAACAGAGAUGAGGAAAUGAAAGAGUUGAAGAAAUAGAACUAGUAGGCUUGGUGAAGACAAUGAUUUGGUAGACCAGUUCCAACUGCUGUCUCAGUUGUACAUCUGGUUGGAGCGGCUGAGUAUUUAAACUCGAGGAUACCCAGUCCCGGACACACAGUCCUCACCGUAUUCUACUUGAGCUAAAGUCACAUAGACCUCGCCCAAACACUCGUGGUAAGUCUUCAGGUGACUUCCGAACCUUCACAAACUCGGUCACCCGGCGAUCCACAAUUUCUCUUGGAUGCUCUAGACCUUGACGUCUAACCGUCUGGAAGAAGCACAGUCUUCAAAGGAAACAAGCGUCGAAUCCACGCAGGAUCAAUCUCUUUAGUGAUGCUCAAUCACUUUGGGGUUUGUAGGUUUGGGUUUGGGAUUUCCUCACUUGAUAAUUUUCACUCAAAGUCCUCGGAGGAUGGGUUGCUCUCAAAUGACAAGUGUCAGUUUCUCUUGGAGCAGCCAACCAACUAGUGGUUGUAGGGGGCGGCUAUUUAUAGCCGGGGAGCAGCCCGACAUGAUAAGACAUAAAUGCUCUUGUCUGAUAUGACCGUUAGGUGGGUAGAUAUUUUGGGACAGCUGGCGCGUAGCACAGCAACAGUCGGAAUAUUUGACUCUCAAAUACCUCAGGGCUAUCAUGUUCCUCACUUUGUAGGCAAUCCGCACUGGCGAAUUCCUAACUCAGUCAGAACAAAUUCCUCAUAGACCAGAAGAAUUUUGUCUCUAUCACUGAAGAAUAUGACUGAACUGUGCGAGAUUUCCAAUGGCUUCACUCGAAAGGAUUGGUAGGUGUAGGAUUUUGAGUUGAGCAUCACAUGGAAAAUUUUCCUUAGUAUUUCCUCGACCCCCUUUAACAGUACGGUGUUUCCUAUGACUCAAAAAAGAGAAAAUGAAAUAGUAAAAACAAGAGUCUUCACGCUUCAUGUUCCUCGAAUGAUUACCAAGUCUUCAAGGUCACAUCAAUUUCUUCACUUUCAAAGUCUUCAAAAAGUCUUUAGAAAUCCAAAGUCUUCAGUCGAAGAACUUCAUUUUUAGGGGUUGACUUUCUCUGUAAAUAUCAAACUCCUCGUAGACUUAUAGACCUGUGUACACUCACAAAUGCAUCAGUCUCUUAACCUAUAAGUCUUCAACACAGCAAAAUCACUAAGGGGCAUUAGAUGCACUUACAAGAUGCCGCGGCCGAGGAGAGGAGGGUGGUGGCGGAGGAGAGGAAGGUGGCUUAGGAGGAGAGGAAGGUGAGCAAUGAGGAGCGAACUAGAUUGUUGGAAUGGGAGAAACACUUGUUCUUCUUGGACACAUCUAACCUCAAUGAAGCGCAAAAAGAGUAUGUCAAUCUUGCCCGUGAAGAAGUGUUGAUCCAAAAAAGAGCCAUGAUCCACACAAUGGGUGGCGGUGGCCUUGGCGGCAUGGGUGGCGGUGGCCUCGGCGCCAUGGGUGGCGGUGGCCUUGGCGGCAUGGGUGGGGGUGGCAUUGACGGUGGCCUUGNNNNNNNNNNNNNNNNNNNNNNNNNNNNNNNNNNNNNNNNNNNNNNNNNNNNNNNNNNNNNNNNNNNNNNNNNNNNNNNNNNNNNNNNNNNNNNNNNNNNNNNNNNNNNNNNNNNNNNNNNNNNNNNNNNNNNNNNNNNNNNNNNNNNNNNNNNNNNNNNNNNNNNNNNNNNNNNNNNNNNNNNNNNNNNNNNNNNNNNNNNNNNNNNNNNNNNNNNNNNNNNNNNNNNNNNNNNNNNNNNNNNNNNNNNNNNNNNNNNNNNNNNNNNNNNNNNNNNNNNNNNNNNNNNNNNNNNNNNNNNNNNNNNNNNNNNNNNNNNNNNNNNNNNNNNNNNNNNNNNNNNNNNNNNNNNNNNNNNNNNNNNNNNNNNNNNNNNNNNNNNNNNNNNNCGGUGGCCUCGGCGCCAUGGGUGGCGGUGGCCUUGGCGGCAUGGGUGGGGGUGGCAUUGGCGGUGGCCUUGGCGGCAUGGGUGGGGGUGGCAUUGGCGGUGGCCUUGGCGGCAUGGGUGGCGGUGGCCUUGGCGCCAUGGGAGGCAUGGGUGGCUUCAGAGGUACCAUGAGCGGUUUAGGCGCCAUGGGAGGCAUGAGUGCACCUCCGGCCGCCAUGGGAGGCAUGGGUGGCUUUGGAGCACCCUCCGACGCUAUGGCCGCCAUGGGAGGCGUGAGUUUUGCUUCUCUCAUGGGAGGCAUGGGUGCACCUUCGGCCGCCAUGGGUGGAAUGUCUUUCGAUGUGCCUCCUCACACACAUUCCCAUAAAGAUGCCGUUGAAGAUCUUGCCAACACCGUCGGAGCUUCACGUGAUGCGGUGCGUGAUGAGGUGAGGGAGGAAGAUUCAUCUUCGAAGACGGAAGAAUCGUCUUCAGAAGAUGAGGACGAAGACGAGGAAGAGGAUUGAUGUGUCUUUCAUUUGUGUCUUGAACUUUAGUUUGCAUUUUGAACUUGGUUGGAUGAACUUGUGGGCAUGAACUUUUAUUCAUUAACUUGUUUGUGUUAAAUUUCACAUGUUCAUUGCAUUUUGAUGAAUGUUUCAAACUUAUUUUGUGUCCAAAAUGCCAUAUAUGUGAAAUGCCCGGCAAGUCGCGCGCGCUGCAUUUUCAGCGCGCUGCUGGAGCGGCGCGCGCUAUGCAUUUAGCGGCUGUUGGAGCCAGCGCUGGCGGCCGCGCUAAACCAGCCGAAGCGCGCGCGGCAAACAAGUUUUUUGCGCGUGGCGCGAAGCGUGGCUAUUGGAGAUGCUCUCAAGCCGUUGUCUGUAGUUUACACAUCGCCAGAAUCAACCACCGGAUCUGGAUGAAGAAACCUCACAAAGACUCUUUCGGCAGCCACCGCAAUCCAGAAUGAGGCCGUUGCCGCAGCCUGAAGUUUUCACCACAGGGACCAACAUGGACUAAGCAUCGUCGUUCCGUCGCAAGGCUUUCGCAUCAUGGGAUGGCAGUUGCCACUCCGAUCGUUGUGGACUAAUCCCAACCGGCUGUUGCCAGAUCUGGUAGGACGUGGCCAGCCACCAACACGAGAUGGAGCAAUCUCCAGCCCAAACCUCACGAGAAGAUACCUCUGGGGACGGGAUCUGUCGGCCUCUCGCGGCUGCCACUAAGGCUAUUCAUGAGUAGGGACCUGCCCACUGGAUCCGGGUCUGAGCGUGCUGACGAACAAGACCAGAAGCCAAGGAAGGUUGGGAGGGAAUGGGACAGUGCCCCGCCACCGUCGUCUACCAUUGGACGGCCUCCUCCGGCGGCGGUGAGGAUUCUAAUUCUGGCCGACGGUUCUUUGGGUGGCGGCUGGGUGCGCCUCUAGAGUCGCUCAGGAGCGACACGGGGAGGCUCGGGCGCUUUAGAACUUCCUGUCUGGAAGCAUACCUCCAUCAAUAGAAAAUAUUUAUUCCCUCACUUCUAUAUUGCUCGGCCAAAAUAGGAUAUCAAGAUUAAUUCUCGAAAGUUUGAGUCGCAUUAUAAAACUGCUUGACCUUGACCUAAGUUUCAACAGUUAAUCAGGUAAUGUUCCGUUUCCUCUUUACAACAUGCAAUUAUUCAAAAACUUUAGUGUUGGUAGCAAUGGCAUUUUUGGACUGAUACCAUCUCACAUUGGUUACGGAAAGCAACAGACUGGAGGUCUGAUCCCUGCUUCGCUGGCCAAUAUGUCAAAUGUUCAAGCGCUUGAUCUUCCAAACAACUCGCUUCAUGGCCCCAUUCCAUCUUUUGGGUCCUUGUUAAACUUGCGCCAGUUAGUAUUAGGGAGGAACUUGCUAGAAGCACACAACUGGUUAUUCCUUACAUCUUUAGCAAAUUGUUCAAAGUUGUCCUUGGAAGGGAAUGCUUUGGAUGGCAACUUAUCUAUAACCAUCCAACCACAUGUUGGUUCACGGCCAAUUCAUUUGCGGCAGACACAUCAUUUAUUAAGGCUUCGUUCGGAUUUGUUACAAGGGAAAAAGUGAUUGUAAAGACAAGAAAAGAAAAGAAAAGAAGAAAAGCAAACAACUUUCAAAAAUAGACGAACUCAGGCAUACAGGUGAGAUAAGAUAGUUGGUGAGACUGACCGACCAUCAUUCAAUCAUAAUAAAGCAGCAAAAGAAAGGAUUUUGAACAAGUCUGACUUCAUAUCGUCGUCCUUCCGGCACCGACACCGGCAGCUUCCAUGAGGUCAUCUAUCAAGCGGUGCAGAUCACGGUUGGAGGAUCCUCCUUCUGCCACCGCGGCAUGAACCUUAGCGGCCAGGCCCAUGACUCUGCUCCUCGCUGCAUCCCCCGGCCCUCCAGGCUGCAUGAAGGUCGUCAAUGCCGGUGCCACAUCUUGGGCGGGGAUUACCUCCUGCUCUUCGUGCCUCGUGCUUCGAACGCCGGCGCCGUCCGGCCACAGCCGCUCCCCGAUCCCUAGGACCUCCGUCAGCAGCCUCUCGGUGAUGAACUGCUCGAACACUAUGGGCCAUGUCAGCACCGGCACACCCGCCGCCACCGUCUCCAGGACGGAGUUCCAUCCGCAGUGCGUCACGAAAGCCCCCACUGCCCGGUGCCCCAGGAUAGCCCUUUGCGGAGCCCAGGCGGUGACCACCAUGCCCCUGCCUCCAACACGCUCGCGCCACCGCUCCGGGGGAGACCACUUGUCCAUCCUCACCACCCACAGGAACGCCAUCCCUGAGGCCUCAAGCCCGAGAGCGAGCUCGUCCAGCUGAGCGUCGGAGACGUGGGCGAGGCUGCCGAAGCACACGUACACCACCGACCGGCUUGGCUUCGAGUCAAGCCAGUCGGUGUACCGUGAGUCGUCGGCUUCCGGUGACGACGGCAGUCGUAGUGACACGGGGCCUAGCAUGUACGCACGCUUCGCGUAGCCAUUGCCCACGUACAUCCCGCAGUAAUGCUCCUCCAGGUCUGGCGAUGUGUUGACGGCCAGCCCGAAGCAGUCACCUUGCACCGCAUAGAGCCGGUGGAAGAUGGAUUGGUCACCCUUCCCUUGGCUCCUCAAGUAUUCCGGCAGCUCCACCGUGGGUACUCGUAUCUCGGGGUCCGGAAACCGAGGGAUGGUAGUCACCACCUCCGGCUCGCUGCUGGAAACGCGACCCAGUAGAUGGCGCAUCGCGAGCGUCGAGAAGGCGCCGAUGACGUUGAACGUGACGCAUGGCACACCGAGCCCGUCGCAGACGCCGGCGUUCCACAUGAAGUGCACGUCGGUGAUGAGCGCGUCCGGCGACUGCGCCCUGAUGAGCGUUUCCUGGACGGGGCGCAUCAGCGUAUCGCUCAACGCGGCCACAUCGAUGCGCCAUGCAUCGGCCUGCGCGGCCGUGCCGAGGUUCUCGACGCCCCACGGGAGGCCGUCCACGGCCGGGAACGGGUACGUCGCCACCUUCACCGGUAUGCAACUGCCGUUCUCGUACCGCUGGAGCAACGACCGGACGAACGACACGUUCGCCGGCGUCACCGCGAUGGUGGCCUCUACGGCCUGUGGUCUGGCCGUCGCAAGGCUAACGGCGAGCUCGGUGAAGGGCCCGAUGUGGCUGGAGGCGAAGAAGGGGAUGAGGAGCACACGCAGCUUCUUGCUGCUGCCAGUGGUUUCCGUAGAGGCCAUUUUCUUUGCAAAUUACUACUGCUAGCGGAAAGUUAAUUACCUGCGUGUGAACGGUAUAAGUAGGAGUAGAUGUUGGACUAGCCCUAUUGCUCAGUGUCGAUUGAAAGAAUAAACUACUGCUGGUAGCUCAAUGCACGCCUACCGCGUGGUGAAAUUUUUAAUGAGUAAAUUACUAUAUAUUCCAUCUCAUGUAGUAGCAAAUCUUUGACAUCUUGAAACAAUCAUAUGUGGUGCUGGAAAUCCAAUUAGUGACAGACCACCCACGAUUGAAGGUGCUAGAAUCCUUACACGAUUGUCAAUCUAGAAACACCGCUAUCUAUAGCAUCUCCGCUCCGGAUCCAGCUUGCCUGCUUCCUCCCCAUGCUCCCAUCCGUACUCCCACUUCAUCCUGCGUUUUUUUUCUUUUCUUUUUCUAAUCUAAUCAUCUCCCCCUGAUUUUAAGAGGGUGGGGCCGGGCCUUAUUUUAUUUCAAUCAAAUCAAGCCACGUACACGAGAGCACGGAUAGGCACACGCGAGAAGCAGGCAAGUCUCGUCUUUACUGUUCGUACAUUGAAGGAGUUGUCCCCAUGUCCAAUGCAUUGAAGGCGUUGCCCCAAGUCCAGAAUCUGCAUGCAAAUGGCGUCAGUACUAAUUAAGCUGAAAUUGAAGCAUUGCAUGCGAUGGGUGUUUCCUUUUCCCACAGGCAGCCCGACGUAGGAUCCCCGCGUCGUGGAGGCCGCCAGUGGGCAGGCGCCCGGUCGGAGGAGCUCCGCGCUGCCGGGCAGGUUUGUGUCUCUCUGCCGAGCAGCAAGGGAGGAAUCUCCCGUCCCCGGUCGGUCGUACGUCUCCACGGUGCGGACACCGUCGUCGAGCAGGCGAUCGGCUCGGGAUGUCCUGUGGCGUGGAGGCCGUCGGCGGGCAGUUGACCGGGCGGAGAAGCUCCGCGCUGCCGGCCAGGUUCGUGCGGCCGCGGAGCGGAAAGGGAGGAGUCUCGCGUCGUCGGUCGAGCCUAUGCCUACACGGCGCGGACGCAGCCGUCAAGCUGGUGAUCGGCUGGGGAAGCCCCGCGACAUGGAGGCCGCCGGCGGGCAGUCGACCGGGCAGAGGAGCCUUGCGCUGCCGGCGAGGCGGGCGCCUCCACGGCAUGAAAACCAUAGUCGGGCAAGCGAACGGGCGGAGGAGCCUUGCGGCGCUGAAUAAGGAUGAAUUAUCUCUCCUCCUUUUUCGUUUAAUGAUUGAUCACGCUUUGGUGAUGUCUGAUCCUACAGGAGAAAAAGAUCAACCCAUUGUUAGAUAAUUAAUUCAAAGAAAGACCAGAUCAAAUAGAUACUUCCCUGAUCCUUGUGUUUGUACUAAUGGCGCGAUGCCCAGAAUUCCAGCAAGCCAAUCAUUGAGCUGUUGCCGAAAAUAAAUGGAAAAACUAUUUGCACCAUGGCUCGAUAGACGCCAGGCCCCAAGGUGGGCGCCAACUGUCGUGGGAACGAUUCCGACAAUAAUAAGGUAUAAGGCAACAGAGCAUGUUCUAUCGAGAUGCAUAUGGGUGACACGGUGGUUUUAGCGAGUUCGGGCCUCUCACGGUGGAGAUAACAACCCUACGUCUCGUGCUCCGGAGAGGCUUUGUUCUAUCUGAGUAUAUAUCCGGAGAUUACAAUGUGUGUGUGAGAGAGGAACGGAUCCCCAUGCCUGAGCUAAGUCGUGAGACUAAUGGUGAAAAGAGAGAGAGGUGGAAGAAAAGAGCCCCUAGUCUAGUGGUGGGGUGGCUUAUAUAGAGUGCGCCAUCCCAUCACCCCUUAUGUUACACGGUGGAGCAUCAAUGCCAUAAUGCCUGCACACUACAAAACCGUCAUGCUGACUAUUGGUCUUCGCAAAUCCGAGUGAGUUACACGGACGAGUGGAAUGAGCUCGUCGAGUGGAGUGCCGUGCUCCGAGUGGUUGUUGCCGUCCGAGUGACUUUCAAGCUGCGGUACAUCUGGACGGUGAUCUGGCCCAGGGACCCAAUACAAAGUGUACGGUGUCCAUGGGUAGGGUAUUUAGGCCAGGCCUUUACCCUACCCCCAAUACAUGUCCUCGUCAAUGUGCGCUUAUGCAUUCUGAGGUACAGGUGAGCAAUAACAAGAAAAUCUGGAAGGCAAGGAUUCCACUAAAAGUUAAAAUAUUCAUGUGGUAUCUUCAUAGAGGUGCUGUGCUAAUCAAAGACAACCUCGCACGAUGCAACUGGCCAAAAAGUAAGAAGUGUUGUUUUUGUAUUCAUGACGAGACAAUCAAACACCUGUUUUUUCUAAUGCAAGUUUGUGCGUUCUACGUGGUCAGUCAUCCAAAUAGCGUCAAAUUUGUAUCCUCCCACAAGUGUUGCCAAUAUUUUUGGUCAUUGGUUGGACAAUAUUUCAAAUGGGUUCAAAACGCUAAUAAGGGUGGGAGCGUAUGCCUUGAUAUGGUCGCUUUGGCUAUGUAGAAACGAUUUGGUUUUUAAUGACAUAAAUACUUCCCUUUGCAAGUUAUCUUCCGUUGUACGCACUCGCUUCAUAUGUGGUCUAUGCUACAACGUGCGGAGUACCAACCGCUAUUCAAGGCGGUGUGUACGCGGUUGGAGGAGGUGGCUACAGAGGUUUUUACCCAACAUGGAUGACAGCAUAAUCUCCGGAUAGGUCCACCAACCGUUUUGACAUAGGCAUCAUGUUUCUUACUCUGUUUGUACACUACCUGGACGUACAAGGACUAAAGAGUACAAGGAUUUAUACCCGACUAGCUCGGCCUAAAACCCACUGCCAUAACUUCUCUUAUUUUAAAAUAAAAAACAACAUAGAUGCAGGCACAACCUCCACCACGAGUUCGGCGGCACGCCGGAUUUUUUGUCCAAAAGGACCCCCUGCCGAGAUGACUUGACAAAAAAGACUACCUCCGGAUGAAUUUGACAAAAAAGGACCCCCUCAGCGGUGGCGGCAGGCGCGGCUGGCGACACGUGGCACCUGCCGCCACCGCCGGAGGCGGCAACCCAGCCGAAACGGCUUUCCCACAGUACACCCAGCCGCGACGGAACGGGCGACGCCAGGUGGGCCAGGCCGCCACCGGGCGAGGCGGCCAACCCUGGCGCGGUCGCUGGCGGGCCGACAGCCUCUGCUGCGCCCGGGCCCGCCAGUGGGCCUCGCCGCCACUGGCUGAGGCGGCCACCCCUGCCAACAGCAGCUACUGGCGCAUGCUGCCUGCUGCACGGAAGGCGAGGUGCGGGCCCCGCCGCCACUGUUGCUGGCGGCAUCUUUUCUUCUGCAUGUGCGGGAAAACGACACUGAUUCCGUGACUGCCGGCGCUGAUUCCGAUACAAACUUCGCUCAUUCCGAUGAUUCGAAAAUUGAUACUGAGUGCCUGCUUUUGCUUGUUUUGCUUGAGUCAUGCGCGAUGACAGGUUCCCUGUUGCAGACUUAGCUAAUUCCCACGUGCAUGCUGGCUAUUGCUUGAGAGGACGUGAUGGCACUGCAGAAAUACACUCACUCGUUGCGGGAAUCCGAGGUUCCCUGUUGUGCCAACACUACAGGGAUCCUAAAAUAUCCCGCCUAAUUUCCUCUGUUCUCGCUUAUUUUCUCGCCAUCAUUUAUCGUCUGAGCAUAUAAAAGGAGACACCGAGGCUCUCGUCCAGCCAUCCUCGAAAUCGCCAGUGCGCAAAGUGCGUAACACAUUUGUCAGUCGGUAUGAGUUUGCCUUGUUCGGAUCAAAGCAUUAGGCCGAGGAAAAUGAAGAAUGCAAGUUUGCCUCCGGGGGUGGCAGUCCUGCGGUGUUAGUGUGGCGAUCUUUGCAAGGUGAAGGAGGUGACGGAAUUUUCAGAUUGGUUGGGCAUGAAGUUUUUCAUGUGCGCCAAUUAUGAGGAAGAUCCUGCCGUAGCUAUUUCGGAGUUCAACAAGCCUCCGGUAUGCUGUAACCAUCACGAAUAGAUAUUGUUGGUAUUUUGAUUGAUUCUUUAGUAACAUUCUUGUUUCUUGUUGUAGUCUCCUCUGCCUCUGUGCAUGUACUAUCGUUGGAUUGACACGGAGAAGCCGGCUGGGGCAGUGACUGAGAUUCGUGAAAGAAGUCGCCGUGCGUGGAAUAGUUUCUUUGCGAAAGAGCGACGCAAGAAGGCGGAAGCUGAGGAGAAAGCAGAGCAAGAGAGAGAGUUUUUUUUUCCAAGAUUUAGGAAAGAAAAACAGGGAAGAGGCUCGUCGCAUGGAGGAGCAGGAACGAUAGCGAAAGGAGGCUCGUGAGGCGGAGAGGCAGAGAAAGAAAGAAAGGGCUCGUGAGGCCAAGGCAGCAGAAGAAGCUGGCGAUGGAAAAGGAAAAUAUCCACGCUGGACUCAGUAGAUUCCUGUGGUAGUAUUUUUAAUUUCGCAAUCAUUUGUAUCUUUAUUUCUGCACUUUAAUGUAGCUUUAUUUCAGGAGUUAAAUGGAGCUUUAUUCCUACGAUGUAUCUUAUUUUCAACAUAAAAACUACAUGAAGGCAUCGUGCAACAACUACAAAAUUAAAUUAGUGGCAUUUUCUUUCCCUCCACUAAUAUCGAACAUCGUGCAACAACUACAAAAUAAAAUUAAAAUAGAACAUAAUGCCCUACAAUAAGAGAGUACAAACUAAUAAUGCAAGUACAUCCGAAUUAAACGGUAGAACUGCAAUACAGCAUAAAUACUACAUGAAGUCAUCAUCGUCAUCCUCCAUCGAUGCAGAACUCUUGCCCUUCGAGGAUGCAGAACUCUUACCCUUGGACGAUGCAGAACUCUUGCUUUUCGAGGAUGCAGUACUCUUGCCCUUAGACGAUGCUGAACUCUUGCCCUUUGACGAUGCAGCACUCGGAAGCGGCGGCAUGAAGAUAUCAUCUUCAUCCUCGCUCUCCUCAGUCCAUAAAAAUGGAUAAUUUUCUGCAGUCCUUCUGAAAGUUUCACUCUUCGGCUCCACUACAUUCUUCCACCUUGCAUGCAACCUAAGAAGUUCUUUACGUACCUCCUCGUAGGUCCUUUCAGGCCACCCAGACCUACAUAAUUGGUGAUCCAACUCAUUCAUUAUGGUGUCACUACCGGUGAGUUCGUCCCAUGGAACUAUCCUAUUGUCCAUCCUGAAAUCGGUAGCUAGCCUGAGAAGAGUCCUGCUCAUCCCAGGGUGAAAACUACGAUCGAAAGGAUAAUGGGAUAUCUCGACUACACUCGAAUGCUUAUCCACCUCCAUCUGAAGGGGAUUUUAUAGGUAUAGAGGAGAAAAUGGCGGGAAAGAACGAGUGCAGUAUGGCGGGAAAGGGUUGGCGGGAAUCUAUGGCGGGAAACGAGUGGCCGGAACAUAUGGAGGGAAAGCGUUGGCGGGAAACGGGUGGCGGGAACAUAUGGAGGGAAAGCGUUGGCGGGAAAAUAUUGAGGGGAAAAUUAUUCCUGACGACUGCUUAAUUAUGUCGAGAGCACUUAAUAAUCCUGUGUUGCGAUCAGAGAUGAUGCAAACACCUAAACGCUCUUUCACGACACCCAUCUUCAAGCAGCCCAGGAACCACAACCAGCUAUCUUUGUUCUCGCUCUCGACCAGUGCGUAUGCAAUAGGAAGAAGCUGAUUAUUUGCAUCUGCUGCAAUCGCCACCAAUAGUGUGCCCUUGUACUUUCCAGUGAGAAAGGUACCAUCAACUGAUAAUACUGGGCGACAGUGCCUGAAUGCUUGUAUAGUCUGGGCGAAUGCCCAGAAUAAGCGGUCCAGGAUUAGCUCACCCGGUUUCUUUGGGUUCUGACGUUCUCUCCGUCAAACUUGAGUCCCCCUAUUAGCACUUGCUAUCUGAUGAAGCAUUCUGGGGGCAUAAGAAUAGGCCUCCUCAUAGGUUCCAUACAAUUUCUUGAAUAUAUUUUCCUUCGCACGCCUAGCCUUGCUGUAGCUGACAGGAAAGCCAAUCUGAUCUUCUGCAUCUUUUUGCAAAGCCCUAACACUAAUGUUGAGACUUCCCUCCACAAUUGUUUCCAUCACCUGUGCCACAUAUCUUGCCGUCACAUUACAGUGAUUUGAAAGAGUCCCAGUUUGCUCACAGCUAUGCUGCACUAUUUUUGUGAUAUGCCAUGACUGACAUACCCCAGGCUUCAGUCUAGCGAGAACUCUUCCGCGGCAACCUUUCGCGGUGUGCAUGCAUAUGACCUUCAACUCUUUUUUAUCAGACUGCUUCACUUUUUGCUGGCGGUGGAGGGCGAUUGCAUACCUAUUAAUUGCUUGGUAAGCAGACUUCUUGUCUGGAAAAACCUGCCCAACCUCUAGACUCCCCGCUUCUAGGCCAGAAACAGAGUGAAAUUCAUUUGUGAUGCUCAUAUCCUGUAAAAGCCCAAGUUGCAGUGACGCUGCGACCGCCCUCUGGGGAGGAACAUCUGCAUCUUCGCUUGACUCGGAAGAUGCGGAAGAGUGAUCGUCAUCAUCGAGCGCCUCCGGCAAUCCCUCCACGUGUUCACUCAUGUCAACGGCCGCAGACCAAUAUCCCGUGUCAUACACAGGCUGGUCGCUCGUCGGUUUCGAUGGGCCGAUGCUAGGGGCUGAUGUGAUGGCCAACUCGACCUCACCGCCCCUGCUACUGCAUCCGGCAACAUCAGUGACUGAAAUGAACUCCACAUACACCAUCGGCUGACCAAACACUGGGUUAUUGGGAUUGCUUGCAAACCUCAUGUACGACCCCCACGACUGAUCACCUGUGACAGGCCGCAAACCCCAACGGGCAGCUGUCCCAUCUUUUGCUCCGUCAGCGACGAAGGCCUCCAUUGUCAUUUUUUCCCCUGCAUCCCUGGUCCAAACACCGCUCGGAUGCACCUUCUGACAGCUGUGUAACCCACGUUCACCAUGUCUCUAACUACAACUGUAGUCGACUCGCACAAGGACACAUCCACCCCGAAAGGACCGUCGCGUACGACAUUCCCAUAGUACACUACUAAAUUUUCCAUAGUACCUAACCAACAUACAUGUUUACAUUUCAAACAAUUAGUAACUGAACAUUUAGUAGUAGUACGAUGACAACAUUUACAUAUAUUACGACUAAAAUAAUAAUCGUAUUUUCGUUACAAAUAUUCGUUUUGUUUUUAGAAUCAUUUCCUUAGACUUUCCGGGGUUGUUGGUAUUUACAGAUCUAUUUUUUCUCAAACUCGUCUACGAGCUUCACAAACUAAAACUCUGUUUGCUUUUCUCUAACUACCCCAAAAAUAUCCUAAACUGAUUCUCGUAACAUGCAAAAACUAAGCUUUUGGAAAUAUCAAUAUUAGUAAAAUCUAAUUUUCUUACAAGUUAUGACAACACCGAUGGUAAUUAAUUGCUAUCCAAACAACCACUAAACAUAAUAGUACGAUAAUAACAUUUUAAUAUCAUAUGAUUAAAACAUUUAAUUUCUUCCGGCUUUAUAUAAGUUUUUCAUAUCAUACGAUAACAAACAUUUAUUUACAAAUGAUAAUAUUUGCAGCGGCAUGCACAUUAUUCACAAUAGUACAUCAAUAUAAAAAAUAUUAACAUGCAAAAACAGAGCUUCUCGAAAACAUUUAAUAGUAUGAUUAUAACAUUUUAAUAUCAUAUGCGUAAUACAUUUAAUAUCUUCCGGAUUUAUAGAAUUUUUUCAUAUCAUACAAUUAUAAUCACUUAUUUACAAAUAUUAAUAUUCCCACCGGCAUGCAUAUUAUUCACAACAUUACAUCAAUAUAAAAAAUAUUAACAAUAUUACAGAGUCAUUUAUACCCCAGCUCCAAUAUGGAUGUGCUUGCGACUGCAAUUAAGCGUCAAAAUAGUUCGAAUAAAUAUCCGUCACCAGUAUUAUAUGAACGGAGUCAACCUAUUAUCACAUGAAUAUCAAUAUUACACACGUAUUUUUUUCUUUCGGCUAUCAAAAGUAUAAAAAUUGCACUUGCUUGUAUAUAGACCUACGGUUUUCUAACUAUAGACUUAGUAAUAAACAUAUCACAUGAAAUAACAUACCACAUGCAAUGAACAAUUGCAGUGCUAUUUUUUUCCUAAUUACCGUAUUAAGAUCUUCUCUCACAUCUCAAUACUAAUGGACGCAGCUAACAUUUGAUACAACAUCUUCAACCUACUCUUCUAAAAAAUUAGUAUAAAUGUUGUAUCUGUCUUCUGCAAAUUUUUCUAACCUCUAAGCACUUACAUCAUAUAGCUAAUGACGAGCUAAAAGACUAACUAAUUACCACCCUGCAUGCACAAAACAAUACUUAUAUUGCAAAGCUCAUACCUCGUUCUUCCCCUUCGUACUUCACUUUGCACGGCUAUUCCUACUACAGAAACUCCAAAUGACUCCUCCAAGUGCUGAAAUAAUGCCUAAAGCAACAUACAAUACACACUUAUGAACUAAUCAUACAGAAUAAAAACAUCAUGCAUGCGAAUGAAACCAACAAAAAUGGAUAGAUCUUACCUUAAUCUAUCUUUUCUUCAACUUCAUCAUCUUCAAAAUCCAACUCUAAAUCGCCCUAAAUCACGAGUGAAAGUGCUUACUGAGCUUUUUUCUCUCUCUGUACUUAGAGACUUAGAGAGUAAAGGAGAGGGACGAGGUUAUAGAGAGUAUGCGUGCGCACGGAGCUGAAGCAUGACAUAUAAAAAGAGAGAGGAUCCCUGUAGUGUCGGCAGAUCAGGUUCGUGAAGCCAGAGCGAUUCCCGCCCGUGAAUUUCAUCGUCCUUCGCCGUGGGAAUCAGCCCAGUUUGCAACAGCGAGCGCAUGGGAAUCAACCCAGUUUGCAACAAUGAGCGUCGGAAUCAGUGCCAGGAAGAUGCCGCCAGCAACAGUGGUGGCAGGGCCCGCACCUCGCCUUCCGUGCAGCAGGCAGCGUGCGCCAGCAGCUGCUGUCGGCAGGGGUGGCCGCCUCAGCCAGUGGCGGCGAGGCCCACUGGCGGGGCCCGGACGCAGCAGAGGCUGUCGCCACCAGCGACCGCGCCAAGGCUGGCCGCCUCGCCCGGUGGCGGUGUGGCCCACCUGGCGUCACCCGUUCCGUUGCGGCUGGUUCUAUUGUGGAAAAGCCGUUUCGGCUGGGUUGCCGCCUCCGGCUGUGGCGGCAGGGCCCGCCGCCUCCUGGCAUGGCGACAGGUGCCACGUGUCGCCUGCCGCGCCUGCCGCCACCGCUGAGGGGGUCCUUUUUGUCAAAUUCAUCCGAAGGUAGUCUUUUUUGUCAAUUCAUCUCGGCAGGGGGUCCUUUUGGACAAAAAAUCGGCUAGUGUAUGCGGUUGGAGGAGGUGGCUACAGAGGUUUUUACCCAACAUGGAUGACAGCAUAAUCUCCAGAUAGGUCCACCAACCGUUUCGACAUAGGCAUCAUGUUUCUUACUCUGUUUGUACACUACCUGGACGUACAAGGACUAAAGAGUACACGGAUUUAUACCCGACUAGCUCGGCCUAAAACCCACUGCCAUAACUUCUCUUAUUUUAAAAUAAAAAACAACAUAGAUGCAGGCACAACCUCCACCACGGGUUCGGCGUGCCGCCGCGCCUCCAGCUGCUAGUAAAAUAAAGGGUAGCUAAUGGAUGGCGUCGCUUUGCUGCACCGCACUAUCUGCCUCUCUGGCUAGUGUGAACGGCAUAUGUUGUUACUUUGUUGCACUGCACACAUUUCAUUCCCAAUUGACAUCCGAGGAAGGCAUAGCAACAUUUUACAAAAUAAGGUUGAUGAGCCCCACCCAUGAGAUGAGUCGAGAAGUAAAAUGCAGCUUAACAGAGGAGCAUGUCUUGAAAGCCAACAAACUUGUAUCGGUAGAAAAAAUGAAGUUGUAGGCCGCACUUUNNNNNNNNNNNNNNNNNNNNNNNNNNNNNNNNNNNNNNNNNNNNNNNNNNNNNNNNNNNNNNNNNNNNNNNNNNNNNNNNNNNNNNNNNNNNNNNNNNNNNNNNNNNNNNNNNNNNNNNNNNNNNNNNNNNNNNNNNNNNNNNNNNNNNNNNNNNNNNNNNNNNNNNNNNNNNNNNNNNNNNNNNNNNNNNNNNNNNNNNNNNNNNNNNNNNNNNNNNNNNNNNNNNNNAUUGGCCCCCUCCCAUAAUCUUGUACCACUCCAUCUCAAGGAUCUCUUGUGGCACGUCCCUUCUGUCAACAUCGCAUUUAGGUUGAUUAAUAAAAUAAGACGCACGAGAAUUGCACAUUCAAAAUGGGAAUGAAAACUACUUGUUGGUGGUGGAGGUAUAAACUGCUGAAGCAGCGGUGCCGUACUGCGGCUCCAUCGGUGGCUGUGGUGGCGCUGUGAUGUACUGCUGCUCCGACAGCGGUGGUGGCGGUGGCCCUGUCAUCUGCUGCUGCAAUAUCAGCGGUGGCGCUGGCCCUGUCAUCUGAUGCUGCUACUCCGAUGGCGGCGGAGGUGGCCCUAUCAUCUGCUGCUGCUACUUCGCCGGCGCCUACGGUGGCCCUAUUAUCUGCUACGCGGCAUGGGCCCCUGUUUCAUGCGGUGAUAGAUCUCCAACAACUAAAAGACAAAACGGCCGCUCUCUCUCCGCGACCAGUUCUUCACAUUUAGGGGCAUGACAACCUGAUGGACGCGCACACUGCAGACUGCAUACAACUAUAUAGGGACGGAUGGACGUUGCGUGCUCCGCCCACCCCCCGAGCUCAGUUAAAGAGGCUUCAGUUUCUGACUUUCUGUUUGUUUG